UCCUCACCAAACUUGGUGACCUGCUCGCCGGUGAGUUCACCUUGGAGAAGUGCGUGAGGGAAGGCAUGGAGUCUCUUGUCACGGAGCUAACCUUGAUGCACGCCGCCCUCCGCAAGGUGGCAAAAGUCCCGCCAGAGCAGCUCGAUGAGGGGGUCAAGAUAUGGGCAGCAAAGGUUAAGGAGUUGUCCUAUCAAAUGGAGGACAUCCUUGAUGCUGUGAUACUGCGUGUGGAGGAUGACGGUGAGCCUGCCAACCAGAGUAAACUGAAGAAGUUAAUCAAGAAUAUCAUCAAGAUAUUCAAGAAUGGGAGGGGUCUCCAUCGAAUCUCCGAUUCUCUAGAAGAAGUGAUGGGUCAAGCUAAGCAGUUGGCUGAGCAGCGUAAAAGAUAUGAGCAAGAGAUGCAUGCCACAAGCGUUGGUGUCAGCGUUGACCCCCGUGUGUUGGCUCUGUACACAGAUGUGACAGAGCUCGUUGGGAUCGAAGAUGCACGGGAUGAAUUGAUCAACAUGUUAAUUGGGGGUGAUGGUUGGUUAAAGAGUCAACUGAAGACGGUAUCUGUUGUUGGAUUUGGUGGGCUGGGCAAGACGACUCUUGCAAAAGUAGUGUAUGACCAGAUCAAAGUACAAUUUGAUUGUGGUGCCUUUGUUUCGGUUUCUCAGAAUCCAGACAUGAAGAAAGUCUUCAAGGAUAUUCUCUAUGAGUUAGACAAGAAGAAGUAUUCAAGCAUCCAUAGUGCAACAAGGGAUGAAAAGCAGCUCAUUGAUGAACUCAAUGAAUUUCUGAAGAGCAAGAAAGAAUUUCUUAAGAGCAAUAAUGAAUUCCUUAGCAAUAAGAGGUAUGUUAGCUAUUUUUUUCCUGCCAACAUCAAUUCUCUGUUGCGUAAUAAAUCAUGGUAUUAUUUUUUGUGUUGUGUAUAAACAUCUUCAUAGCACAUUGUUAGUCACCCACUAGGUUUAUAAUCUUCAUACAAAUUCAUGAAAUUUUCUCCAGUGCAUUUUUGCUUAGAUAACCCAUCAUUUAAUAAUUCCUUCUCUACCCAAACAAAAUUCUUAGAUAUAUCUGGACCCGAUUUAUCAACUAACUAUCUGACGUAUUUAAAUAGGUACCUCAUCGUAAUUGAUGAUAUAUGGGAUGAAAAAGUGUGGCGUUUUAUCAAGUGUGCUUUCCCCAAGAAUAGUCUUGGAAGUCGAGUAAUCACGACUACUCGCAUUCUUAGUGUCUCUGAAGCAUGUUGCUCUUCUAGCGAUGAUAUUUACAAAAUGAAUUCUCUUUCUGAUGAUAUCUCCAGAAGGCUCUUCUACAAAAGAGUAUUUUCUAACGAGAAGGGGUGCCCUCAUGAACUGUUGCAAGUAUCCCAAGACAUCUUAAAGAAAUGUGGUGGGAUACCAUUAGCCAUAAUUACCAUAGCAAGUCUUCUAGCUAGUAACCGUCAGACAAAAACAAAAGAGCAAUGGCAUGAUUUGCUCAGUUCAAUUGGUCAUGGACUUACAGAAGACCAUAAGGUGGAGGAGAUGAAGAAGAUAAUAUUAUUAAGCUAUUAUGAUUUGCCAUCUCAUCUGAAGCCAUGUUUAUUAUAUCUUAGUAUAUUUCCAGAAAAUUUCAAGAUCUGAAGAGUUGAUUUGAUAUGGAGAUGGAUAGCCGAGGGCUUUGUUCAUAGUGAAAAACAAGAAACUAGCUUAUAUGAGCUAGGAGAUAGUUACUUCAGUGAGCUAAUAAAUAGAAGUAUGAUGCAGCCAAUAGGCAUCGAUGAUGAAGAAAGGGUAGAAGCUUGCAUUGUACAUGACAUGGUACUUGAUCUCAUACGUACCUUGUCCAGUGAAGAAAACUUUGUCAUUAUACUUGAUUGUACUGAGAAAAACUGCCUAACUCGCAAAGCAAGGUUCGCAGAUUAUCCAUCCAAAAUGGCAAGAUGGAUGUUUCUACCACCAGCAUGGCACAAGUGAGAUCCCUUGCUUUCUUCACACAUGGUAUUAUCCAUCCUUGGGUUGUUGCCCACUCUGCGCUCUCUCUCCCUGAUACGCAAUACUAUAUUCUCAGGGGGGCCUGCAGUGGAAAUGUCGAUCGUCACCGCUGAUGCAUUCCCAUGCGCAACGGAGUGCCGCUUCAUUGGCAUUGCGGCAGUGCCAUCUAUAUUUCCACAAGGAGCUAUGCCAAGGGUUAAACUCCUCUGCUUUGGCUUCCCCGCCGUGUGGAUUUCCCUCGGUGACUUUGCUUUCGGCAUGGGACACCUCCCCUCCCUGAAGUAUGUCCAGGUUGAGCUUCUAUGUGAAAAAGCAACUGACGUCGAGCUGGAGGAAGCAGAAGCUGCAGUGAGGGCCGCAGUGGAGGAGCAUCCCAACGGCAUGCACCUUAAUUUGUCCAGUUGGUAAUGUUGCCACAUUGCUAAAGGUACACCUACUCCACCUCCACGCUUCAUGCAUUAUUCACAUUUUUGUGUUCACAAGUGCCAAAUGUUCAUUCAUCAUACUGUAUUUUCAAAUUCAGGGGGAGGAAGAUGCAAAUGCUGCAUGUGAUGAGGUUCGCCAGUCGCCCAUGGGCUACCUCUGUUACACAUACAUUGUUUUUCUUUCACCUACUGUUAUGUAUUCAGUGUUCAUUUCUGUCAUUACUUCCAAUUUCAGGUGGAGGGAUUGAUUCGUCAAACCACGAAAUCUGGUACUCCAUCAGUUAGUAGCACACUAGCACCAAACUACACGGUAUUUAAGCAUUUUUUCCUUUAGCCUGUUUUCUGUAGCUAGCUAGUUCGAUCAGUCCAUCACGACUGUCUAAUUUUUGUUUUGUUUUGUUUUUUCCUGCCACAAGAUUAAGCAUGACGUUUCCUAGAUCAGCAAACAGUUCACUAAUAUAUAUUCCUUUGUCGGUAGUUGGAUGAACUGAGUUCAUUUUUCCUUGUACAGCUGAGCAUAUCUAUGCCCUUCUGUAUAUGCUUGGAUGAACUCUGUUUUUCUUUUGGCCCUACCUUCCUAUUUGAAGUACCAAGAAAUAUCAAGAAUUUCUUCUUGGUUCUGAACUUUUGAUUUCUUGUGGUACGCAAACAAAUAGCACUGCAUGUUUUUACUAUCUAGCACAAGAUAAUGGCAUGAGGAUUAACAAUGUGAAAAUAAUAUGUAUGCCCUUUCUGUGCUUGGAUGAACUCUGUUUUCAUAUGCAGCAUUUAACUGAACCACCUGUUUGAAUGUGCUUCCACAUGGCAUUGUAGGUGGCAGCAACUAACAGAUUUCGUCGUCAUGGAUUCAAUAGAUCGCGCGGCAGCUUCCUACUUCCCAUGUGUCUGCUUCCGUUCCAACCAAGACUGUCAAGAGCAUUGUAUUUCUGUUACCGUUUGAUCAUCUUGUGCAACGAGGUAAAGCUCUCGUGCAUACUGUCCGCUUAUGUCUGAAAUUUCCUUGAGGGCAACUAAAGAACAAUGAGGUUUGUAGGGCAGACCCCAUGCAUUUUUCCCAUGAUGAACCAUUAAUUAUUUUCCUGGUUUGUUUCCACUGAUUUGUUUGUAACAUCAUUCAGACUUCCGGAGUUGUGAAUUGAAAUGUCGCUUUCGGUUUGUACAAGUAUUCUGAAGUUAUACCUUGUACUCCUUCCGUAAAAAAAUAUGAGAGUUAGAUCAUUAGUGAAUGUCAGCAGUGCCAUUUCGAUGUGAAUGCACGGUCUCAUGGCUAGUUAAGACAUACAUAAACCAUUGAGAGCACCAACUAUUUACUCCCCCAUUCUUAAUAAGAUGGAUAUAAAUAAAAUUUGUAUUUUGCAUAGCAUCGGUAAGCAAUUUUGUGCGUUAAUUUAAUUUUUAUAUGAAUACAUUGGCAAAUAUUUAUGGAAAAAUAUAUAUUAAAAAAGCAUUUAAGAUUACUGUUGUUGUAUUCACGAGGUUGGCACCCGUGGUUUUGAAUUUAUCUAUUUUCUGAAAUUAUCCAUUUCAUUGACAUCCCUCCGACCAAACUGAGAGAUGAGCCAAAACAAUUAAUGAUCAUUAAUGAUUGUAUCUCAGUCAUCUUAGAUUCCUAAUCCUUCCAACCCGAGACGUAUGCCACAAGUGGACACGAAAAUUGUCAUACAAGUUACCGACGGCAAUGCUGAUGCGGAGUUUAGAUCAAUCAUCGCUCUUGAAAUUAGUUCAGUUUGAAAAAUAUAAGAAAACUACCCGACGUGCACCCAUUGCAUCUAACAGCUUUGGCAGCAUUUUGAGGUGUAAUUAUUUUGUUUAUAGGUCGGGUCCAGUGGGGGCUAGACUCUGUGAUCCGUUUAAUUCGAGUUGUAGUUUUGCCGACAGCAACGCGUGAUGCCAUGGAUGUAUUGAGCAGGGACCACUAUUUACAUGACUUUACCACAGUUGCAGUAUGAAUGGCUUGGACUCUCGUACGGUGCUUAACAUUAAAACAUCUACAACCAAACCCCUUAAACCCUUCUCAAAUGCAGAGGCAGGUCGUCCGAUCACUGACCGUGUUAAAUGCAACAGGUUGUUACGGCUGGAGAUAGAUAGGCCAAGGCUGUUAGCCGGUUGCUAGCUAGUUUAUUUUCUCUCUGUCUCUUGUAACUGUAUCCCUUAUCUCUUCCUCCCCAAGUCAUGAUCUCGGCAAUGUAUGUGCUACAGGGAGGUGUGCCCCUGCCUAUAAACAUGCACGACAUCCCUCCAACGAGGUAAGACGUUUUCCGCCUAUCGCACAUGAUAAUUAGAGCCUUCCUCUUCCCAACCAUCAUCUAGCUCGCAAACCCCAUUAGUGCUUCACCAUGUCUUCCUCCGGUAAUCCCAUUAGUGCUUCGCCAUGUCUUCCUCCGGUUCCUCCCAGAUCGGUCUCAACGGCCAAAUCACAGAGAAGCUCACCCGCAUCAACUACGUUCUGUGGCGUGCCAAGAUCACGACGCAUCCGCGGGGAGCAGGCAUCUUAGGCUAUGUUGAAGGCAGCACGCCGGAGCCGGCCAAGCUUCUUCCCGUCAAGGACAAGGAUGGGAAGGAGUCCUUUGAGCCCAACCCUCUCCACCCAAUCUAGGUCCGGGAGGAUCAACAAGUGCUCGGGUACCUCCUCAACAAUCUCUCCAAAGAGGUGUUGGUGCAGGUAACCGCGAUCACCACGACGCACACGCUCUAGAUGACCCUAUCACCCAUGUUUUCCUCUCAAUCCUUGAGCCGUGUGAACAACAUUCACACGGCCUUGCUUCACGCGCAGAAGGGAAACUAGUCGAUCGCCGCCUUCUUCUCCCACAUGCAUGGCCUUGCGGACGAACUCGUCGCGGCCGGCAAACCCCUUCAAGACGACGAGAUCGUCUCCUACAUCAUCCACACCCUCGACAUCGAGUAUCAACCUCUGGUGUCGGCCCUUGAUGCCCGCACCACUCCAGUCUCCCUGGAUGAGCUCUUCUCGAUGUUGAGCAACUUCAAUCAGCGCGUUGCUCUCUACCAGGGAUUGGGUGGAUUCAAAUCCUCCGUGAACGCCGCUUCUCGCGGCCACGACGAGCGCCACCACGGACCUUCAUGGAACCACAACAAGCCUGGAGGCCGCUGAUAUGUCCCAAACAUAUCUAUAAUUUAUGCUUGCUCCAUGCUCAUUUGGGUGGCAUUGUUAUAUGUUUUGCUACACUUUUAUAUCAUUUUAUAUAAAUUUGGACUAACCUACUAACUCAGUGCACCCAGUGCCAGUUUCUUUGUGCUGAUGUCUAUUUUGCAGGGGCUUUUAUCCUAUUUUUCGAAGCCCGAAAAAUUCUGAGAAAAAUAUAUAAAAAUCAGCGUACCAGAAGCUUCCAGAUCACCGAAGAUGGACCAGAGGGGGGCUAGGGGCCCCCAGGCGACCUGUGGGCGCGGCCUACCCGCUGGCCGCGCCAAGAGGCCGCCUGGGUGGGUCCCACCUCCUCCUGUGCCCUACUUUGGCCUAUAUUUACUCCUCCGAGAGAAAACCCUUCCAGAGGAUCCAGAAUCGUGAAUUUCUCCAUCGUUCCGCUGCCACAUCUCUUCCGAGAUCGGGGGCGUCGGGAGACCUCUUUUCGGCACCCUGCCGGAGGGAGGAUUGACCUCCGGGAGCUUCUACACCGCCAUGGACGCUUCCCGGACCUGUUGUGAGUAGUCCUCCUUGGACCAUAAGUCCAUGACCAAUAGCUAUGUGAUGUCUUCUCUCCAAUCUUGUGCUUCAAUGGUCCUUAUGAGCUGCCCUACAUGAUCAAGGCAUCUAUGUAAUUCUCUUGCUAUUGCUAUGCUCGGUUUGUUGGGAUCCGAUGGAUUAUGAGAUUAUGUUCAGAUUGUUAUGAGUUAUAUAUUUGAUUAUCCUUUUAUAUUAUGUUCCUUAGUGAUUCAUGCAUGUUCUCCGUUGCUAUUUAUUGUUUUGACCGAGUAGUAGAUUGUAACUCCAAGAGGGAGCGUUAUGCAUGAUUGUGGGUUCAUACCCCUCAAUGUCUAGCUUGAGUGAGAGAAACAUGAGACUAGGGGAUGUGUUGUUGCCACGAGGGAGAAAACAACGGUGCUUGUGACCACGGUUGCAAGUAUUGUUUACCAUACACAUAGUUUGUUAAUGCAGUUGUCUGUUGCUUUGAGUUUACACUUUGGAUGGGGCUCGCAACUUAAUACCGGAGAGAUGUUCUGGAUAGAUAUCUCAACGUGGAUGAUUAGUAAGUAGAUGCUGAUGAAUAAACGAUCUACUUGUCUUGGCGUACUUCCCAUUACUAUUGAACAUCUAACUAUCAAGUAGCAUAAUUAGCAUCGCGGUGCGUUCAUAAUUCUAUCAAUUGCCCAACUGUAAUUUGUUUACCCAAGCAUAGUUGUUUAUCGUCUUUUGGGAGAGAGACAUCACUAGUGAACAUCAUGUGACUCUGGUCCAUAUCACCAUCAUUCUUUACACCUCCAUCAUUUACUGCUUUUAUUUACCUUUCAGUUGCAAUUACUAUUACUUUUCCCGCUUGUGUUUUGAUCCUUUGCAAACUACAAGGCCGGAGAGAUUGACAACCUCUUUGUACUCGUUGGGCGCAAAGUUAUUUGUUGUGUGUGCAGGUUCAUGUAUUCUGCUAGCGCCAGGGUGGGAGACACCUACUUGUUGAGCCUAGGAGCCCUCCUGGUUCGAUAAACCUUACAGUCUCUGAGUAAGGGAAAACUUGCUGCUGACUACAUCUCAACCUUCCACUUUAGGUAACCAACGAGGUGCGAAAAGUAUAUACAUCAUCUCGUCAUCAGCGGUAGGGCAAACUCCAGCAACAACACCCCUCGUGUCGGGCGAUCCUCCUCCACCAUCAACAAGUGUCGCCGCAGCGGUUCCUCCAGGGCACGACAAGAUACCCCGUGCCAAAUAUGCGGCAAGCCUUGGCCACACCUCCAAGGACUGUUGGUACGGCUAUGAUGAAGACGGAGAUUCUUCCCAGGACGAGGACAAGGUGGCUACUGCUGCGGAUGGAUCCUACGGCAUCGACACCAACUGGUAGGUCAAUAGCAACGCCAUCAAACACAUCACCGGCGAACUUGACAAGGUGGCCAUGCAGGAGAAAUACCGCAGCAAAGACCAAAUCCACACUGCUAGUGGUGUAGGUAUGAGAAUUCGUCACAUUGGUCAUACAAUUAUUAAAGACCCCCCCCCCCAAUCACAAACUUCAUCUUUGAAUUUUUUUUGCAUGGUCAUAUAAUUGCCAUUGAUAACCAUGUCUUCCUUGAAUUUCACCCCUUCUUCUUUUUGAUCAAGGAUCAGGCAACGAAGAAAAUUAUCUAUUAAGGUAGAUGCGUUCGAGGGAUCUACCAUUGAUUCCGGAGUGUAGAAGAUUCAAUAAACGAGCCUACGGUGUUGCCAAACUUUCGUCAACACGGUGGCACGAUCGAUUAGGACAUGCUUCUUUUUCUUUAGUUGAAAGAUUGCUUAGGAAAAAUAAGUUCUCAACUAUGUGCAAGAUGUGUCUGAUGUUGCAGAUGAAAAAAGAAAAGAAAAUGAUGAAGAGAUCAUCCCGAGUGUGCCAUAUUUCAUGUGUCACGGUGCAGGAGACAAAUCCUCCUUGGGAUCGACGGAGGAUCACCACCAGUCCAUGAGAUCUACCCCGGGAUCGGCGCCCGAUGGUGUGGUAGACGCACCAUAUACGACAUCAUCAGACUCGACCGCACCGCGCCUACCAUCGUCCGCCACUUUGCGGUCUGCAGUUGGCCAGCCUGACACGCGCUUCCCCGACAAAUUGCAGUGUUACAAGCGGCGUGACCAGCGGCGCCCGACAGGUGCGGUGUCUGGAGCGGAUGAGCAACUAGAGAAGCCAGGAUCUUGUGCACCCUCCGCCAUGGUCGGACAGCAGCCCGCAGCCAUGGAGGAUCCUACACUAGAUCGAGACGAAGCUGUCUCAGAAUCACCAGCACCCAACACUCUUGUGGGCGCCUCUAGAUCUUCUGCAUCGACUGAUCCUGCUGCACCGGCCUCACGUCUCACCAGAUUGCAAAAGGGGGUAAUUCAACCGUUAAAUUAUAAGCACAUAACCAAAUAUAGUCUUGUAUGUUCUACUGGAGAACCAGGUAAACCACACACCCUUGAGAAGGCACUUGGUGAUGACAAACGGAAAAAGGCAAUGAAAGAAGAGUACAUGGAACUAGAGAAAAACAACACUUGGCAUCUAGUUCUCCCAAACCAAUGUAAAAAAUCUUAUUGAUUGCAAAUGGGUAUUCAGAAUCAAGAGAAAAUCUGAUGGGACUAUUGACCGCUACAAGGCUAGACUUCUUGCAAAGGGCUUCAAGCAACGGUAUGGCAUAUAUUAUAAGGACACUUUUAGUCAUGUUGUUUAUAGGGGUUGGAGCCUUGGACAACUAGAUGUUCAGAACGCGUUUCUCCAUGGUAUUCUGAUAGAGGAAGUAUACAUGAAACAACCUCCUGGGUUUGAAGACAAGAACAAGCCUUCUUAUGUAUGCAAGCUUGAUAAAGCUAUAUAUGUGUUAAAACAAGCUUCAAACAUCUCUGUCACAAGAUGCAGGCACUUGGUUUUGUUCCCUCAAAUCUGACACCUCAUUGUUUAUAUCUACAAUAAUUCAAAUACAUCCAUAUUUGUUCUCAUAUAUGCUGAUGAUAUUAUUGUUACUAGUUCAUCUCAUGAGGCAAUCACAGGACUCCUGAAGGAUCCGAGUACAGACUUUGCUCUCAAGGACCUUGGAAAUUUGCAUUAUUUCCUAGGGAUUGAAGUGAAGAAACAUGAGGAUGGACUUCAUCUCUCCCAGGAAAAAUAUGCAUCUGGUCUAGUUCGGAAAAAUUGUCCGUUACAGAAGGAAAACUCUUGAAUCAAGAGGACAAUACCAGAUAUAGGAGUCUAGUUGGUGCACUUCAAUACCUGACUCUAACAAGACCUCGUCUGUCUUUUGCUAUUAACAAAGUGUGUCAGUUUCUUCAUGCACCUACUUCAGUUCACUUUACUGAUGCAAAACACAUCAUUAGAUAUGUCAAACAUACUUUAAAUGUUGGCCUAUAUUUCAGUAAAUCACCAUCUACCCUUGUGAGUGCCUUCUCUCAUUCAGAUUGGGCAGGAUGCCUAGAUGAUAGGUGUUCCACUAGUGGUUCUGCUGUAUUCUUUGGACCUAACUUGAUAUCAUGGAGAGCAAGGAACACAAGCAACUCUAUCCAGGUCAAGUACAGAGGCGGAAUACAAAGCUUUGGCAAAUGCCACAUCUGAAAUUAUAUGGGUUCAAUCUAUUGUUAAGGAGCUUGGUGUGAGAACAAUCAAAGUCCCCUUCUUAUGGUGUGAUAAUCUUGGUGCUACUUAUCUAUUUGCUAAUCCUGUGUUUCAUGCCAAAACCAAACAUAUAGAAAUGAUUUCCACUUUGUCCGAGAAAAAGUGGCCAACAAACAAAUUGAUAUUUGGUUUGUGCAUUCCAGAGAUCAAGUUGCAGUUGGAUUCACCAAGGCUCUACCAGUAAGAAGCUUUCAAGAUUUUAAACAUAAUCUCAACUUGAUGAAGUUGUGAUUAAGGGAGGGUGUUAAACACAACAGGUUGUUACGGCUGGACAUAGAUAGGCCAUAACUGUUAGCCGGUUGUUAGCUAGUUUAUUUUCUCUCUAUCUCUUUUAACCGUAUUCCUUAUCUCUUCCUCCCCAAGUCAUGAUCUCAACAAUGUAAUCUCAACAAUGUAUGCGCUACAGGGAGGUGCAACCCUGCCCAUAGACAUGCACGACGUCCCUCCAACGAGGUAAGACAUUUUCCGCCUAUCACACAGACUGGUCACAAAAAUGCGACCCUAACGGGUUCCUCGAACCGGCCUCAANNNNNNNNNNNNNNNNNNNNNNNNNNNNNNNNNNNNNNNNNNNNNNNNNNNNNNNNNNNNNNNNNNNNNNNNNNNAUAUGGGGGAGCCCGGGCGCGAUUGGCAUGUCCGCCUGGCUCGCCCUGGCCCGGAUCUACUCCACAUAUAUUCGUCCCCAUCCGCUCGUCGGAGCAAACCCAAGCUCAACUCCGGCAUGGCGGGCAGCGGAUCUGAGUCCUUCACCUCAAGAUCCAUCGACCACGAGCUCGUCCCAUGCAGCCCCGAGGAGGAGAUGGUCGUCCGGUUGCGCUCCGCCGCUCCCAGGAGGCGGCCGCACGACGGCAGCGCUCGGACUCACAACAUCGGGAAUCCAUUGCGUCCGCACAACCGGUGCUUGGAUCCGGCAUCGCUGCCUCACCGAAGGCGGCGCGGUGCGUAUGACGUACGAACGUUGUGGUGCAAGCGCAACCCCUCCGUUGGCGCGCCGACCACGAAGCAUGACCAUCCUCGGACGAUGUCAUGGUGCGGCGUGCUCGCCGAGCGAGGCAGCGGGCACGAGAUGCGGCGGUGGUUGUUGGAGAGGCGAAGUCACACUCUCCGACGCCCCAUAGGGUGCUCCAGUGCGGGCGACGCAACCACGUCGUGGUGGAUGCCGACUCCUCCUAGAAAGGAUUCGUCAUCGACCUCACAUCGACUGGCACCCUCUGGGUUACGGGCUCCGACGAAGAAGAGUAGGGCAUGGAAGAUGGCGAGAGCUUGACUCCCUCAGCGGACUAGUGUCACAUGUCUUACACUACCUCGUCGGCGACCGGACCGACACUGUGAGGGACGUAGCCAGCCGUCGGAGAUAAACACGGCGGAGCCGGAUGACCUUCGUUUAGUUUUAGACUUAUGUUGUACGUAAUAUUAUGUAUUUGAGGUUUUUAAUUUAAGGUAUUCGAAUGUGGAAUUUAUUAUCUGAAAUACUCACGCGCGGGCGUUUGAAGGCUUAGUAUUAGACUUAUGUUGUAUAUAAUAUUAUGUAUUUGAGGUUUUUAAUAUAAAGUAUUUAAAUAUAGAAUUUAUUAUCUAAAAUACUCAUGCGCGUUUGAAAAGUUGGAUUUAUAAGAUCCGGAUGCUCUUAGCCCCACGGCGUCGGUCCAGCAGCCACCAGCCUGUGGUGCACUGCACAUGACAAGACCAUACAUGUCUCGGCCCGGUCGAUUGGUGGCGAAUUAAAAGCCUUUGUGUUGCUCACAACGUUUAUCUCUUCCUAACACCGAGCAAACAAUCAUUGAUCUGAACACAUCUCAUUUUCUCCAGAACAAAUAAACUGCCAGGAGAGGCCUUGGUAGGAACAGCACAAAGACAUGAAAAUCCAAGUCUGCUUCUGGUCUCAUCUGCUUCUAGUAAAAAAAAGAUUUUUUUAAAUUCUAUUUUUUUCUGUGAUACAUAAUUUGAUGUGUGAGGUCCGCCUUAAAUUUUAACUUAUUUGAAGAUCUGAGCAACUCUCGAUAAAAAAGACAAAUCGGGUCAAAAUAGUUCAUGAACAGCUAACCUUUUUUACAGACUCCGAUUUAUUUUUUUCGCUAAAAUAUAACUCACGCAUCAGAUUAUCUAUCAUACAAAAAAAUUUACUCCCUCCGUUCCCAAAUAUAAGUCUUUUAAGAGAUUUCAUUAGGGGUCUACAUACGAAGCAAAAUGAUUGAAUCUACACUCUAAAAUAUGUCUAUAUACAUCUGUAUGUAAUCUACUAUUAAAACCUCUAAAAAGACUUAUAUUUAGGAACGGAGGUAGUAGAUUCUUUUGAACCUUUCUACUAUUUGUUUUGAUUUUUUUUCUGACCGGAAGCAGAUGAGCCAGGGACUGCUCAGAUGUCUAAAUAAGCUAAAAUUUAAAGCGGACCUCACGCAUCAAAUUAUCUACCACAUAUUUUUUUAAUUUUUUACUAUUUAUUUUGAUUUUUUUUUUGUCGACGCGGAUGCAGCUAAGCUCGGGAGCCAAAUGGCCGCUUCCACACGUACACCAGCUUUCUUCCUCACCACACUACCGUAUUUUGAGGUGUAAUUAUUUUGUUUAUAGGUUGAGUGGGGGCUAGACUCUGUGACCCGUUUAAUUCGAGCUGCAGUCUUGCCGACAGCAACGCGUGAUGCCACAGUUGCAUUGAGCAGUGAAAGGGAAAGGCCGUCGUGCUCUACUUUACAUGACUUUGCCAGUGUGAAUGGCUUUACACUGGUACCGUGCUCAACUUUAAUCCUCAGCGCAUCUGUGCUAGUGUGGAGGCGCGUCUCCGCACGGUCGGUUGGUAAAGCAUCUGUGCUGCUCACAACGUUUAUCUCUUCCUUAACACGGAAGAAACAAUCAUUGAUCUGAACCCAGCUCAUCUUCUCCGGAACAAAUACACUGCGAGGAGAGGCCUUGGUAGGAACAGCACACAGAUACCAGCCUUCUUCCUCCCCACACUAGCGCAAUCGCCCAAGUAGAGAGAGAGAGAGAGAGAGAGAUCCAGCUAUGGAGAUUGCCAUGGGGGCUAUCGGCCCUCUCCUCCCCAAGCUCGGCGAGCUGCUCAUGGGUGAGCUCACCAUGGAGAAGAAAGUGAGAAAGGGCAUCGAGUCUCUCGUGACAGAGCUGAAAUUGAUGCAUGCCGUCCUCAGCAAGGUGGCCAAAGUGCCGGCGGACCAGCUUGACGAGGGGGUCAAGAUCUGGGCAGGAAAAGUCAAGGAGCUGUCCUACCAAAUGGAGGACAUCGUUGAUGCCUUCAUGGUGCGCGUGGAGGAUGGCGGCGAGCCUGCCAACCCAAAGAACAGAGUUAAGAAGAUAGUCAAGAAGGUCAAAAAGUUAUUCAAGAAUGGCAAGGAUCUUCAUCGGAUCUCUGAUGCUCUGGAAGAAGUGGUUGUUCAAGCUAAGCAGUUGGCCGAGCUGCGUCAGAGGUAUGAGCAAGAGACGCGGGACACUAGUUCUAAUACUAGUGUUGACCCUCGCAUGGUGGCCUUGUAUACAGAUGUGACAGAGCUUGUUGGCAUUGAAGAAACACGAGACCAAUUGAUCAACAUGUUGAUUGGGGGUGAUGAUUGGUCGAAGCAUCCAUUGAAGACGGUCUCUAUUGUUGGAUUUGGCGGGUUAGGCAAGACAACUCUUGCCAGGGCAGCGUAUGACAAGAUCAAAUUGAAUUUUGAUUGUGGUGCUUUUGUGUCAGUAUCGCAAAAUCCUAACAUCAAGAAAAUCUUGAAGAGUAUUCUCUUUGAACUUGACAAGGUGAAGUAUACAGGCAUUUAUAAUGUAGAAAGGGAAGAAACUCAUCUCAUUGAUGAGCUUAUUGAAUUCCUUCAUGAAAAGAGGUAUGUUUUUUUGUUCUGGCAGUUUGAUAGCUUCUUGUUUAGUAAAACUAUAAACUAAUCCUUAUAUAUAAUUGUGAAUAUGCAUCCAAAUAUGUAACACCAUACUGUUGAUCAAUUAGAGGUUUGUAGUAAGUCUUCCGCGUGUUACUCACAUAAACCUCUAGUAAUAAUUAGAGAGUAGUAUGUUAAGGGGACCAAGAAAUUAUUGCUUAUAUGUCGAUAAUCUCAAUCAUUGAAUCAAUACCCUAUGAAAACUUCAUGGUUACACUUUCCCCAAAAAAAGUGCAUCUUUAGUUUUAGAAAUUUGCAACAGGGAAAUUGCACAUUUCUACACCUACAAUUGCACACAAUUUUUGACCAAAUUUUGGUCUCACAUUAUGGAAUUUUGUAGCCAUAGAAAUAUCAUAUCCUUAGAAUUGCCAACUUAUAUAAAAAAUAUUUGAGUUCUCAACUAAUUCGAAAAAUUCAAUCAUAUAGGUACCUCAUCAUAAUUGAUGACAUAUGGGAUAAAGAAGUGUGGAAAUUAAUCAAGUGUGCUUUCUCCAAGAAGAGUCCCGGAAGCCGACUAAUCACAACAACUCGUGUCAUUAGUGUCUCAGAAGCAUGUUGCCCAUCUAGGGAUGAUAUUUACAAAAUGAAACCUCUUUCCAAUGAUGUAUCAAGAACGCUCUUCUGUAAACGAGUUUUUUCUGAUGACAAAGUGUGUCCCCAAGAAUUGGUGCAAGUAACCGAAGAUAUUUUGAAGAAAUGUGGGGGCAUACCGUUAGCUAUUAUUACUAUAGCAAGUCUUUUGGCUAGUAACCAUCAAAUAAAACAAAAGAUCAAUGGUAUGCUUUGCUCAAUUCCAUUGGUCGUGGACUCACAGAAGAUCGAAGCGUGGAAGAGAUGAAGAAGAUAUUAUUAUUCAGCUAUUAUGAUCUACCUUCUUAUCUGAAACCAUGCUUAUUAUACUUAAGCAUCUUCCCAGAAGACCAUGAGAUUAGGAGAGAUAGACUGAUAUGGAGAUGGAUAUCAGAAGGCUUUGUUUAUAGUGAAAAGAAAGAUAUUAGCUUAUAUGAGCUCGGUGACAGCUACUUCAAUGAGCUAGUAAAUAGAAAUAUGAUCCAGCCCAUAGACAUAGGUUAUGAUGAAAAGGUAAAUGCUUGUCGUGUACAUGACAUGGUGCUUGACCUCAUAUGCUCAUUGUCAAGUGAAGAGAACUUUGUCACGAUAUUAGAUGACACUAGAAGAAAAAUGGGUAACUCAAAGAUAAAGGUUCGCAGAUUGUCCAUUCAAAAUAGCAAGAUAGAUGUGGGUACCACUAGGAUGGAGCAUGUGAGAUCUGUUACUGUUUUCUCAGAUAAUGUUGUUGGGAAAGUGUUGGAUAUUUCAAGAUUUGAAGUUCUGCGCGUGUUGGAUUUAGAAGGUUCUCAUGUCUCAGAUGUUGGGUAUGUGGGGAAACUAUUACAUUUGAGGUACUUGGGGCUAAAAGGUACUCAUGUUAAGGACCUUCCCAUGGAAAUAGGGAAGUUGCAGUUUUUGCUUACCCUGGACUUAAGAGGUACUGAGAUAAGAGUACUGCCAUCGAGUGUUGUUCAGCUAAGACGUCUAAUGUGCCUGUAUGUUGAUUAUGGUAUGGUGCUGUCUGGAAUAGGUAACCUGACUUCCCUAGAAGUGCUAGAUGACCUGGGGUUAUCUGAAGUGGACCUUGAUUUUGUGAAAGAAUUGGGCCAUCUGACCAAGCUCAGGGUGCUCCGGCUUGACUUGGAUGGUUUGGAUGAGAGCCUGGGUAAAGCUUUGGAGGAAUCCAUUGGUAAUAUGGACAAACUGGACAGCCUAGAUGUAUAUGUCCGUCGUGGAGUCAUCAAUUGCCUGAGCGAAGAUUGGGUGGCUCCUCCACAACUCCGCAGAUUGGCUUUCCCGUCAAGUGAUAGUUGGUUCAAGACAUUGCCGUCAUGGAUUAAUCCUUCAUCGCUUCCUCUCCUCUCCUAUCUGGACAUAACGGUGUUUGAAGUGCGAUCGGAGGCCAUCCAGCUUCUUGGGACUCUGCCUGCUCUUGUUUAUCUUAAGAUAAUGAAUCAUUCUGUGUACUGGGAAGGACAUGAGGUGGAAGCGCCCGUUCUUUCCUCUGGUGCGUUAUUCCCAUGUGCGACAGAGUGCCGCUUCUUUGGUAUAGGUGCUGUGCCGUCUAUGUUUCCACAAGGAGCUGCGCCAAGGCUUAAAGUCCUUUGGUUCGCCUUCCCAGCCAAGUGGGUCUCCCGUGAAAGCUUUGAUCUGGGCAUGCGGCACCUCCCUUCCCUGGAGCGAGUCGAGGUUGAUGUUAUGGAGGGAGCUAGCAGUCAGGAGGAGGUGGAUGAAGCGAAGGCUGCGGUGAGGGCCGCAGCAGAUGGCCACCCCAACCGUCCCGUCCUUCGCUUCAGUACGCAGUAAAGGUUCGUUCCGGUUCCUUUGCUUUGACAACAAGGUUAUAUACCUUUCUCAGGGUUUGACUAAUUACUAGCACCGAACUAUUGUUUCAUCAAUUAAUUACUAGCACCGAUCGAACUAUUGUUUCAUCAUUUCUUUAGCCUGUGUACGUACUUCAAUCAGAUCCCUGAAACUAAUGUUACCACUUAUUGAAGUGUCAAGAAUAUUCCAGUGUGACUUCCCGCUUUGGUUACUUACUUAUGCUGCAAAAAAUACGUAGCACAAGUCUUGUUAUUUAUACAUGCUACAAUAUUACAUGUAACCCGAUCAAAACUAGUAACGGACAACCCAACAGUAAUACUGAAUUGUUGAUACGUGUGCAUUUUUCUCUCUACUUUGAUGAACUCUGGUUUCUUCCUUUCUGAGACAUUGAACUGAAGCAUUUCUUUGUGUGUUUCUUCCGAAUGGCAUUACAGGUGUCGUCGACAUGGAUUCAAUCAUGGGUGCCUCCAACAACUCCUCCUGUAUUCUGCUCUUUGACCUGUCUCCCUCUGCAUCCGGAUGAACCUCCUCAUUCUGUCUGCCUUGGUUUGGAUUCUCUUCACACUUCCGCCAACUCAAGAACAAUUAUGUUUGAGGGCGCCUUCCCUGUGUGUUUCGCCCUCGAUGAACCAUUAUUUAUGAGGCACUGCUUGGUACUGUUUGCUUGCUCUCAUUCCGCUUUAUUUGGAGCAGUUCAAUGUUUUGUUCUAGACUCGUAAACUAUAAUGUCCGGUUCAGUUUUCCGUAUUGGUUUCAUGAUGAAAUAAACAGGCCUGUAUUAAGUACAUCUUUGUAUUGGAUUACAACUGGAAUUUGAAUAUCUCUUGCAUAGUACCGUGUGCCUUCGCUAUCAUCUAGUAAUCUGUGAGAUUAUUGGCCCUGAACUGAUGCAGUGUUUUCUGGAUGAAAUAAUGAUUCGGUGUCCCUUCAAUGACUACCGUAAUUAUACAUGGAGCAAAUUAGAUGUUUCUUGCUUGCGAUGAUGCAAAUCAUGCGAUGUAAUGCACAUGAAGACCCGCUUAUUACCAACUCAGUAAGUUCAUGUAGACAGAUAUCAUGACAGUAUCUUCUUACGUUGCCCCCAUCAAACUUGCUUUUGUUUGUGUGUGUGUAUAUUUCCCUCUUGUCGCCGUUGAGCUACAGAUGUUUGUUCGUUUGUUUCUGCUAGUAUUCCACUGCAAUAAUUAGCCAGCUCUGGCCGAGAGUGCAGCCGAGAUCCGAUGACGUUGUUUCAACAGAAAUCUAACCGAAGCUGAAAACCUGAAACCCAGUUCAACACCAAAACAGAGGCAGUAUAUUUUUUUUAUAGUACUUUUUCUACAUUGUCACUCGUUCUGGGCUACUAAUUCCUGGCUCUGUAGAAACACUGCAAGUUGGUUACUUUUGUCCGCUUCUGAGUUAAAAACUACUACCAUCACCGCAAAAAGAAAAAGACUUAAAAACUACUCCCUCCAUUCCUAAAUAUAAGUCUAUUUAGAGAUUUCACUAUGGACUAUAUAUACAUGUAUAUAGAAAUACUUUAGAGUGCAGAUUCAUUCAUUUUGUUCUGUAUGUAGUCCGUAGUAAAAUCUUUAAAAAAAAUUAUAUUUGGAAUGAGAGGGAGUACCAGCCAGAAAUUCAGAUUAAGUACCACAUUCAUUUUUCAUGUGAAGUGAUGAGUUGUUUCUAUCCCCUUGAUCAGGUGCAUGCUCUGUCUGUGCGAUUGUGUGUACCCGGAAUGUGAUCGGUCGAUCGUUUCCCUCCUUUCUUCCCUCUAUUGGAGAGUCGAGUUUCGUCAGUACUCAGUUCGUGAGAUCAUCUGAAUUUUCGUCACCUUUUGUUUGCAUUUCUUUCUCACUGGUUUUCCUUGCAUUUUCUCCAGCUUACAAUCUCUAUCAUCUUUCUCUUUGUGUAGAGCUGGAAAUUGCUUUAACUAAGAUAAGGCGAGAGGCCGAUGUCAUCCACUUUCCUGUUAUUUAGACAUGUUGAUCCACUUCUCUGAUAUCCCUCAGACCUCAACUUCGUCCAAGCUGUCCCUGGGACCAUGUCGAGUGAAGGACCACAGGGCAGCGUCUCUGUGCGUGCACGUGACAGCCUCUGCUCUCGACGAUUAUUUCUACCGCGUUUGCAGACGGAUAGAGUCAGUCAUCACUCAUCACUCAUCAGAGAGAGAGAGGUCGAGCCAUGGAGUGGAUCUCGCGACGGGUGCUCCGUCGGCCGCCAGCCCUGGCCUCAGGCAAAAAACCGUUGAAGAAACAAAGAGAAAAAAACAGAAAGAUCAUAGAAACCAUAGCGAACGCAGCCACCAUCAAGCUCCUCAAUUGAAAAAACAGCAUGGGUGGCCUUGGUGGCGUGGUGUUGACGUUGGUGACUGGGCAGCAGUGGUGGCGCUCCGACCCUACAAGCCCAGAUCUAGGCCCUAGGACCUGAUCUGGGUCACGUCGGGCCUGUCUUGUUGCCUCCGGUUGGCCUACGGCGGGGAUGACAGCGUUGACGCCGCAGUGCUACAGCAUGGCGAUGGGAGCUUCACGGGAUUUUCCAUGCCCGGCUGAGCUUUUGGGCUGCAUGAGGGUAGCGGCGGUGGCGGGCUACGUGCAGCAGCAUGGCGCCGGGGACUUUACGAGCCCCGGGGCUCGACCGGGCCUAGUUGUCCUGGUGUGUCCCGGCUGCUGUGUCCGGUCGUCCUCCGGGUAGAUGCACUGUUGCCGCCCACUACAAUAAAUAUGUCAACUUGUGAAGUUCUCUUAAUGACCCCAGUUGAAUUGGUCGUAAAUCCACGGCCAUUUCGAUAGGAAGGGCUCAAACCCUGAAAUUGCCUCACACCAAAUGGUCAUAAAGCAGACAACAAUUGUCAACGACCUUAUUUAUACCUAAUUACGACCAAUAUAAAUGAUCAUGAGGUUGUGAACAUGGAUGCAUUGGUACCUAAGGCCACCUCCUUUUUAUAUGUAUACAAAAAAUGUACAAUGUGUAAAACCAAAUAUAGACAUCAAAACGUAUGUAUGAAAAGGUGUUUUUAUUGAGAAUAUAUGAAAAGAUGUUAAUCAUUUAUUAGAAAAUGUUAAACAUAUAUAAACAUUCCAUGUGAGCUCACAAUCCAAUCUUUGUUUCUGAUAAUAUUUUCAGUCUGUGAAGCAUCUAUAUUUUAUAUUGCUUUUAUAAUUGCUGAAAAUUUACUAGGAUAUGACCGUGCCCAUAGAACCUCCACCACCAAAUUUUAGCUCAUUUAAUUUAUCCAAUUUCCCUCAAUAUUUACCCUAAUUUUCUGUUCAGUGGACAACAUUGUGAAGGAAAUAUCAUUUUUUUAUCCAAAUGGUAUGAAAAUUUUAGAGUGCCUUCAUAUGCCCAAAUUAUCAUCCUUCUCCAAAUUAUAGCUCAAUUCAAUCAUCUAUGUGAGCCCAGUAUCAAUUUCUAUCUUUUGUCCAGAUUGGCACAUUGCAGCAAGUGCUAUCUAGACCCCUCCUAUUUCCCUCAAGCUUUUUUGGCUCUCAUCCACAUUCAAAUCAUUGCCACAUGCCAAUAUUCAGCUCCAUUUUCGUAGUAAAUCUUCAUCAGUAAAUUUCCAAAGUUUCUAUCCAGAGAGAAUUUUUGUGAAGAAAGUACUGGCUAGGAUUAUCUAAAUUAUGUGAGGAUUUUCCAAAUGUUUCACAUACUCAAAUAAUCACUCUAUACAAAAUUUGAGAUUUAUCCAGCAAACCAUGUAAGCUCAUCAUCCAAUCUUUUAUUCUCGUCAUAUUUUCAGUUUGUAACCCAACUAUAUUUUAUAUUGCUUAAUUAUUUCUGAAAGUUUACCAGGGCAUGUUUCUACCUAUAUAACUUGCCUCCACCAAAUUUGAGCUUAUUUCAUUUAGUCAAUUUCUCUCAAUAAUUUUCCCAAGUUUCUGUCUAAAGAAGAGCAUUGUGAAGGAAGUAUCACUUUGGCAUGCUAAAUGGUACCAAAUUUUUAUUGUGCCUUCCUCUUCCCGAAUGACUAUCCUCCACCAAAUUGCAGCUCAAUAAAUUCAUUAAUUUGAGCUCACAAUCCAAUCUUUGUUUCAACUAAUAUUUUCAAUUUGUGAAGCAACUAUAUUUUAUAUUUCUUUAUAAUUUUUGAAAAUUUACCAGGACAUGACUGUAACGACCAAGAUGCGGUCCUUUCUGAUCUGCGGGUCGAGGCCCCCGAAUUGAAAAGAAGCGCAUCUAAGCGUUUCGCAAGCAAGUAACAUAGCACAAAUAAUAAUAAAAGUAGACAAUUCGGGAUUCAACUGUCUUCUUAUUAAAAACUCAGAGUACAACACAAAUACAAUCAAGGUAGUUCCGCUACGGACUACAAAACAUGGAAAAUGCUAUGCUACCCUGCUGCAGGCCCACGAUCACGACCACGGCUCAGUCCUCUGGAUAGUUCACGUAGAGGCGGUAUGUCUCCUCGUCGUACUGCCACGCCAGCUGGGUGCCGUUGGGAUCAUCUGCCUCUGGGGUACCUGUACCUGCUGGGAGUUUCGGAGGAAUCCGUGAGCCACGGGGACUCAGCAAUCUAAGACCUUGGUGCCAGAACUAGUCAUGUUAUUGGGUAAGGUAAGGGUAAAGUGUAUCCGGCUGCAGCAACCUAUGCUUGAUUAAGUGGCUAACUUACGCAAAGUAGAAGUAAAGGUGGUCUACACUAACGAUCGGAUUUACUUGAUCACUAAGUGAUCCUGAACACCUACCUACGGCAUUCAUAACCCCACCGUGUUCCCGAUCGAAGAGAGAUAUUCGAAGGGACAGUCACGGUUACGCACACAGUUGGCAUUUUUAUUUGUUUAUGUUUACGUUCUCUAAUACCGGAUGUUAACAAAAUAUUCCAAGUUGCCACAUAACCGCGGGCACGGCUUUCCGAAAGAUUAAACCCUGCAGGGGUGCUCCAACUAGUCCAUCACAAACGAACACAGGCCGCAAAGGCAUCCUCUACCAUGAAUCUCGUGAUCUCGUCGGAUUCCUUAGAGGAAAACCUCAACUCUGGGGAAAACCAAAGCUUCACUGGGAUUCCUAUACGCAAGAUAUACCGCUUAGGUAAGGCAAGGCUAGCAGGACCUCCCGGUGUGUCGACGACCCGAUAAGAGCCGCGUAUCUCAGCCUCAGGACAACACCGUCUAUGCAAAGUGGACAAGGACCAAACCUCAAGUUUCCCCGGGGUGGUCUUGCCGACUGCUAGGUGGUUGGACCAACACUCAUGAGGAGCACUGGCCUGGGUUGUUGAUUAAAUUCCUCGGGGUAGCUAUUCCCUAUGCAGAUUAUUAGGUGAUUAGCAAAUAAUACCAAUGUUGGGUCCUGCCGGACAAGCCUUAGCACUACGCGAUUUAUCGACGGGGUCCCCAUAACAACCCCGAACGUGUUAGGAGCGAUCAUUAUGGAAUCAAACACCUGUAACCGGUAACUAAGGCGGCAAUAACGGAACAAUGCACCCAGCAAAAGGCUAGGCCUCCCGUCAUUUACCAAGUAUAUAGGUGCAUUAAUUAAAUAACAGAAUUAAAUAAAAUGAUAUCAAGCUCAUGUCAUCACAUGAGUUUUAAACACCUCAACUAGCAAUGCUAACAUUAGUAGCUGAGCAAGCCUACUUAGCCAUACAAGUUUGCUAGGAAGGAGUACGGUGUUUGGGCUCAUGGCAUAUGAAGAGGCAAUUUAAUUUCAGUGGUAGGCAGCAAUCAAUAUGACAUGGAAAUGAAACUAACAUAACAAGUCUAAAGAUGGAAUCAAGGUCAUAUCAUCUUGCUUGUGAUAUCCUCAACUUGGAAUGGUUCUGGUUCGUCCUGCACGUACUCUCCUGACUCCACGUAUUCGUUCUCCGAUCCCGGUGCUACCCAACAUAAGAAUAACAGCCAAUGAACAGCAGCACCACAAGAUGCAACAAUCACAUGAUGCAUGAGAUGAAAGUUGAGCAUGCACCACUAUUUCUAUCACUAGCACAAGCAAAAUAAACUACUGCAAGUUUCUGGACAGAACUGUGCACUAAGCUAUUUUUACAUGCAUGGGAAUGACAUGAACAGAUGCGUCUCGUGAAAAUGGUGCAAAACCAUAUAAAGAACAUUGCAAACGGAGCUACGGAUCAACGGGAAUCAACGAAACAAGAUAUGAAGCUCUACGUGGAAGAUUCAAAACCACAGUCACAAUUGGCACAAAUCUGGUAUUCCCAGGUUGCCAAGACCUAUAACAACCCAACAUGAAUGGAUUGGAGCAAGGAAGAACACCACAACAUCAACUAAGCACACACAUUGACCAAAAUGACAAAACUACAUAAUCUGCCAUAAUCUGCAUCUUAGCUAUUUGGGAGCUGCAUGCAACAUAGCUACAGGUCUUCAAACAUGACAAAUAAUAUAUGUGGCUGUUUCCAACCAAGAACACUACAAGCACCAGCAAGAAUCACAGCAAAAGGAAUUAAACUCUAGAAGAUACAAGGCCACAAACUUUCCCAAAACCAUCAGAUCUCAGGGACUUAGUGAAAAUUCCUGCACCUGAGUUGUUGUCACUGUUCUGAAGCUUUUUGACAGCAAUCAAAACACAACCUACUGGACACCAAAUGAUUUGAAAAUUGACAGGAAGCUUCACAAACAUACCAGGUACAAAAUCCUAGCACUGAACUAGGGCUAGUUCUCAACAGAAUGACCAGCACAUCCUCAUCUAUAGGGGGGAAUGUUUCCAGAAUCCCAGACUUGGUGAAAUUUCAGAUUUCACUAAACUGGAAUUUUUCAGCCACAUGCCCACUUUGUCUAGGCAUAGUUUGCACACACCUAACACCAAGAGGUAAUUAACACCACUAUGGUGUAAAGCAAAACCCCUACUACUAUCACACAAAAGCUCAUGCCCUUGGGCUCCACCUAUUCCAUGGAAUCAAAGAUCAAACUUGCAACAAAUCUGAAUAUGCAACUACAUAAAGUACCCUUCUAAGACAACAACUACAAAGGUAGGGUUCAUGUGCACAAUGACAAAGUGACAUGGGGGUUUGAACCCCAUGUUUGUGUCAUGCACAUCAACAUCACAAGCACAUCUACCAACUAUCCCCACACACAAACACCAUGCCCUCUCACAUAUAGACAUGUGAAGGUGCAUAAAUUAUGCAAAGGUGGGGAAGUUCCACACACACACAUAUAUUCCACAUCAUUCACCACAACAUCAACUCCUAAAACCAAGAACAACAUGAGGGGGAUAACUACUAAGCAAGUAACUUGGAAGCAUCACCUCUCAAGCAACUUUAGUAGGAACCCCAAGUGGUGUGCACUCACACAAACACAUCUCCAUGCCUACACUAUCAACUUCACUUACAACCCCUAUGCACCCAUGCCUAUUUGCAAUCACACCAUCAACAUAAUCUAGCAAGACCACAUACACACACUCAUAACACUUCUCACAAGAGCAUACACAUACCCAUGCAUCUAGCCUACUAUAGCAGCAGAGGAACAAAGUGAUAUAAUGCCAUCUGUCAUCUCAUGUUUAGGGCACAAAACAAGAACCAGAGCAAAAGAGCACAUCAGCAGAAAAAAUAAAUAAAACAGAGUUAAAAGGGAAAAACAAAAAAAGGGGGCACACCAGGGAUCGAACCCCUGUGCCUCUGGCGCAAACUCGCCUACACUACCACAGCGCUGCACUAGUUUGCUCGAGAGUGAGGGGAGCCCAACCAGGUUAAGGUGCCAUGUGCUGCUUCUACUGUGCCGACGAGAACAACAAAAAAAUGGGAGGACUUCUCCCUGGGAUCGAACCCACGACCUGCUGAUAACACGCCCAAGGUUCCGACCACUACUGCAGAUAGGCUACUGACAGAGGAGGGUCGCGAUCAAGGUAACUACUGCUGCAGACAGCCGCGACCAUGGUAGCUGACAGGCGCCAGCGACAGAGAGACGCCGGAGCGAACCGUUGCUGCCUCUGUUGCCAUCCGAGGGCAACCUACCGAUUGGGAUGGCGCUACGAGGGGGAGGAAGCCCCUGCUACCUCUACUCUCCUGCAACCCGCACCUACAGGGAACCGACAAGCACACAAACAUACCGAAGCUGAUGCUGCUUCGACAGAGGAGCACAGCGACAGGGAAGAACGUCGGCGUUCUCUGCUGAGCAACCACUACCACGCUACAAAGGAGGAAAAACCACAGGCUUCAAGGGGGGAGGAAGCCCCUCUCUUGCACCCCUGCGAACGUGCGCAUGCAAAACCGAACACCACCACGUCCUGACCAAACUACCUAUAUAACACAGAGGCUCCGACAAUCUACCGGCCGAUCCUAGCGAGGAGGAAGGAGGGAGGAGAGAUGCCUCACCUCGGGAAGGAAAGGAAGAAACCACCGGCUCGAAGGAGUAGCCGCAGGGGAGGAAGACGCCGGUGGUCCGCUGCUGCCGACGAAGUAGAGGAAGACGACGAGAACUCCGGGGCCGAGGCGAUGGCGCGCUCCUGGCCGUCGUUGUGGUCGCCCCUCGUCCUCAACGCUGGUGGGAAUGGGUCGCGGGGAGCCUCCCCGAGCCCGUGGACAUGGCCACCGACGCCAGAGACGAUGGGAGGACGGCGUAGACGCGGCGGAGCUCCUCUGCUUCUCUCUGCUACUGUCUACAGGAGACUUACCAGAGAAGAAAGAGGAGAAAGGAGGGAGGUGGCGGCGCUGGGGAGAAGGAGAGGGAACCCUAGGGGAGGAGGAGGGUUCCCUCCACCUUAUAUCACCUCGGGGAAGACGUUGGAGCCACAGGAUCAAGGGGAGGCGAUCGGGAGGUGGAGCUGCGUUCGUACGUGCAUGACGUCGGGAGGAAGAAGAGGUGUCUCGCGUGGGCUGCUACAACGAAGGGGUAUGGGCCUGGGAGGAGACACUGGGCUUCUCUGAGUGGGAGGGAGCCCACCAGAGAAGAAAAUAGAAAACAGCCCUCGAGAUUUAUUUCUAAUUAGGUAAAAAAAUAGAGAAAGAAAAGAAAACCCUCAGGACUAAUGCUGAUUAUAAAAUCAAAACAAAAAUGUCCCUGGGCCUAAAAAUUCCUAAGCUUUUAAAAUAAAAUGCAAAAGGAAUUUUAUGGGGCAUUUAAAUAAAUACAAAACAACAACUAAUUAUACUGUUUUGUGAUUUAUAAACACCCUCAAGACCAAAAUAAAAACUCCACAUCAUCACAUCAUCAUCCCCACAAUAACCUCUAAAUACAAGACAUUUUAAAACAGCUCUUGUGAAGAUGGAAUUUUGAACAUGAGAGAAUAGGAGAGGAAAAGGGUUUGAAAUUGCAAUGAGCUUUGAAAUUCCCAAGCAACCACUCCUACACUCCACACACCAUCAUCACAUGACAUCACACAUGAAAUCACAAGGUAGCUAACCACAAGAUCACCACCUACAUUUAUUACUAACACCACAAGAAAUCAUAGUGCAACAGUUCAAGGUAAGGGCAUGCAAUGAUAUGCUAUGCAUGCAUGCAUGAGAAGGAAAUAGAAGGAAAACACAUGAAAUCACGGUAUCAAUUUAACAUCUUAAUCUCUGACAAGGUGGUCCCACAUGAAGUAGGUCCAAAAAGGGUAGGUUCUAUACUUGGGGCAUUACAAUGACCCUGCACAUAUAACCUCCCUACACCAAAUUUUAUUUGAUUUUAACGUAGCCAAUUUUCCUCAACAUAUUCCCAAUUUUCUGUUUAGCUGAGAGCAUUGUAAAGGAAGUACCCUUUUUAUUUAUCCAAAUGAUAUGAAAUUGGUACAGUUACUUCAUAUGCCCAGAUUAUCAUCCUCAUCCAAAUUGCAGCUCAAUCCAAUUAUCUAUGUGAGCCGAGCUUCAAUUUCUAUUUUUUGUCCACAUUGGCACAUUGCAAAGCAAGUGCUAUAUAGACCCCUCCUAUUGCCCUCAAACUUUUUGGGCUCAUUUCAUUUUGCCAAUUCCUCUCAAUAAUUUUCCAAAGUUUCUGUCCAUAGAAGAGAAUUGUGAAGGAAGUGUCACUUUGGCAUGUCCAAAUGGUAUCAGAUUUUUGAGUGCUUUCCUAUGCCUAAAUGAACAUCAUCCACCAAAUUUUAACUCAAUCAAUUCAUGCAUCUGAGCCCAGCAUGAACAUCCAUAUUUCUGCCCACUGUGGUACUUUCGCAAAGCAAGUGUCACCUAGGCUCCUCCAUUUGAGCUAAAUAUUUGCCAAGAUAGUCUCCUUAGUGAAUGAUCAUCCUCGGCCAAAAUUCAGGCACAUUGGCCAUCUGCAUUUCCCCCACCUCUAAUCAAACACUUGGUUGCUAAUUCAUGUUUGAGCUUACUUCAGUCUUCUCGUGAGAUUCUUAUAUUGUAUUCUUCUUUCUAACACCUACCGAGGGAGUGUCCAACCCAUGAGACAUGCCUAGGCUGCCUAGAACGCGUGGCAACGCAACAGUGACGCGGUGACCACGCGGCUGGCAUGCCAGUUUACGUACUCUGGAGUUGGGGCCCAUGCCCACCAUCCAAACCUCGACGCCUCGCCACCACACCAUGUAUUUCUGAUUAAAAAGAUACUUAUGUAUCUAGAAAUGAUUUUUGGAAAAAUUAAAGAGCAAACUAUGAGGUAGCUGCAGAUCAAAUUUGACCCACUUCCAACUAAAUCGAUGGAAAUUUGUCUUUUUCACGGGAGGUGGAUCAAAACUUUUGACACGCAAAAACGCCGACGCAACAAGGCCGGUUGCGCUUGGUUGCUGCCUUGAUUCGUCAGGGAAUUAGAUGGGACAGGGGGAAGAGAGAAAGGGCAUUGAUCAAAGGAGGAAUGGGCAAGAUCUAGGAGAUGCACGGGGGCUGGGGUCAACACAUACGGCUGAGCGCAUCCUUCAUAUGUGGGGAUAAGGAUGAGGAGGGGAGGAGCGGUGCAAGGGGCCACCACAACGCGUGGCAAUAGUUGGAGGUGGCUAACGCCCGUCGAGUAAUCAUCCGACAGAUUUAAAGACUUCUCCAUAAUAAAUUAGGUGAUUAGUCAUCUCGUCCUAUUUCUGUGGUUGUGGCUCUUUAACUUUUUGUUUGCUUUUAUUUUAGCUCAGAUUGAGCUUGUACUGAUCCUCCGAUAUUUUUGGAUAUUUGGCUUAAUAUGUAUGUCUACAUGCAUCAUGCUCACGCAGAGGUGAGGGGUUAUCCUUCUUUUCCAAAAAAAAAGUUUUUAUGCGGUCUGCAUUUGUGUAGCAACUAGAUCGAGAGAGCUACUUUUGUGUGAGUGCGGAGAUUUUAGAGUUUCUUUUUAUGGACAAAGAUAUUAGAUGGAGUUGCAAUCAGAAAUAUGCAGUGCCCAAGCUUGUCUAGUAGUAAGAAAAUGAUCCUCUAGUGAUAGCGUAAUCACGCACGAUGAGACGAGGAGAUCUAUCGGACAUCAACUAAGUUGCUGUUUGUUUCGGAAAAAGAAAAUCUCUAUGACUUGUUUACGGUGUAAUCGGAAGAUAUUGCACGCGUUUGUUUGAUGUACGUUAUAAUCCUCUGCCCCGUAAACGAAUAUAAUAUAUCUUUCGAUCGAUACCACCCACACCCCUUCGUAAACGGUUUUCUUACUACAACUUCUCCUCUCAUGAUCCGCUCCUUCUCCUCCUCGACCAACACCGUCGCCUCCCGAAAGAAUUGAACGCCGCCGCAAUCGAGCCGGCUCCACCCGUCUGUGAUGGCCAGCGAGUAACCGGAUGUGCUCCUUCUCCUCUUUUCAGGCUUUCCGGUAGCCGUUGCCGCCGCCCCUGGUCACUACUCCGUUCGCUGCUGCCCAAGCCCGCCCUUAUCGUCGGACCGCUCACUGCAAGGCACAUGUUUCCCUCCUUGUUGCUUUUCUUCUUUUUCAGCCACCGGGCGUUACAACUCUGGAGAUGGCACCCUAACUUAAUUCCUUUACAAGCAUGAACCAAACAAAACAGCGAUUAUCCAGUACAUUCCCAUUAAUAGAGUGAUCUAUUUCAUUACCAUUUACGUUACCAUUCUCUAAUCCAAACACCUUCUAGGAAUGGAUGUAAGAUUUUACUCCUGUAUUUAUCUUACAAGUGUAAAUUAUCAGUCAAUACUUGAUUCCAAAAAGACGGGACAAGCUCUGUACUGUAUACUUUACCGGUCUGGAACAAGGAGAAACGCUAAUCCAAACGCAGCCUAGGUUGUUUGUGUUCGUCUCAGCUGGAUGACACACGGGACCCACAUGGCAGAAACUCUGUGCCGGCACUUGACCAGUCAGAUCCGUUAACAGGCCCUCUGCUCCCAGCGUUUGGAGACAGUCCGUCAGUCAGAGUCUCGGAGCUAGAGGUCGAGCCGUUGAGUGGAUCUCGCGGCGGCGACUUCCCCAGCCGCCCGGCCGGGCUCGUCCCGGGGCUGGUGCGUCCUGCCGACUUCCUCGCCCGGAGAGGUGCCUGCAGUGCGUGGGCCAAAGGUUGGAUCUCGCAGAAAAUGAGGUAUAUUUUCUUCUUCCUGAUCUGGAUCCGAUUAAAUUAGUUUCUUGGACUAAAUGGGUGUACAUCUUAAGUGCAUAUUAGUUUCUUCCGUUCUAGGUUGUUUAAUCUAGUUUCUUCAAGUACCGGCCGACCGGUGUGCCCAUCUUAAUCCCUCAGUGCAAAUCCUCUGUUAUCCAUGUUACAUUUGCUCCUAGGGUCUGCUCUAGUGAGGCCAGAUAACUAGCACACGCUUCAGUACUGACCUCUCUUUGUGAUAAACAUACACCAGAUGCAUCUUAAUUUGUUUGCCAACUAAACGGUGCAAAAACUUCGUCAUAUCCAUAGGUCAGUGUGGGAUGAAAAUCACAACUGUUUGUGGACCUAAAACAGAUGCUAGUGCAGAAGAAAUGAAGAUGAUAUUAUUCUCUUGGGAUCUGCUGUUCCAGUGGACUACCUCUCCACAUUGUAUUGUUCGGUCGUGUAACUUUCGUGCUGUUGCUUUAUACUCCAGAUUCACCCUAGAUUUACAUUUCUUACCAUAAGAUGUUUUUGUUCCCAAGGGUUCACUUUUUUUGCCUUGAUAACUAGCUCAUUAUUCAUUGUUAUCUUCUCUUUAUGAAUAAAUAGUAUACUCAUGUUGACUUGCCUGCCAACUAAUCUGUUUCAAAAUCUUCACAUGCAUAGGUACUUGGGCAUGGGAUGGGAAUCACAAUUGUUGUGGAGUAAAUGAAGAAUAUCUUGUUGUUUGGCUGCUACCAUCGAUGUUCUUGUAGAUUGAACAUUGCCAUGGGCAUUUCUCUACGCAACCAAUAUAUUAGAUCAAGCAUCAUGUCAUGGACAUCAUAAGACUUUUCUGCCUUGAUAGUGAUGUCUACGGGCUGGAUCAUGCUUCUGUUUAUGAGCUCAUUGAAGUAACUCUCCUAACUCAAAUGGGUCAAUUUCACCUUUAAAUGAUACAUAAAUAUUCAGCUAUCCAUCUUCAUAUGAACUGGUGUCGCUUAAUUUUGUAAUCUUCUGGAUAUAUGCUUACAUGUAAUAAAUAAUGUGAAGGUAGAUCAUAGAACGACAACACAAUUUUUAGUCCUAAACACAUUAUGGUAGACUAGAGAUAGAAAACAAUAGGAACCACACACAUACCAAUGAUAUGGAAAGUAGCAAAGAUAUAGUAAAAGAAGAUCUUGACUUUUAGAUUAUGUCAAAGUGAUAAUCUGGAGUCAAGCUUAUUUUACUACUAGUUUUGAUCUACCUUGUCAUCUAUAGGAUUAGUUAUUAUAUCUAAGUAUGUUUUUAGAAGAUUAGAAGAUUAAGCAAGGUUACUUGAUAUGUAAAUGGAUAGCUGGAUGUUUUGUUUAUCAUGAAAAACAAGAGAUUAGCCUAUUUGAGCUCGGUGAUAGAGUUACUCAAUGAGAUCAUAAAUAGAAGCGUGAUUCAACCAAUAGACAUCAAUUUGAUGAAAGCAUGGAAAAAUCUAUCGUGUUCAUGAUAUGGUGAUUGAUCCCAUAUGUUCUUGCCAAGUGAAGAAUACCACUUACAUGGCACUGAGUGAAAGCGGUCUAUACGAACUUACAAAGGCAAUGUUUGAAGAUUAUCCCUCCAAAAGAGCAUGUCAGAUAUGACCACCAUCAGAAGCAGCAAUGCCAUAAGUGAGGUAACUUGCAGUAUCUAUAUCUGCUAUUGUUUCUAUUGUUGAUCUAGUGCUGCUUAUCUCGAGUACCUGUGCUGGAUUUAGAAUAAUGUGGUGUAUGUUUAUUCUCAUUUGAGACUGUUGAAAAUUGGAGAACACUAAAUUUGUCUUGGCGUUUUGAUCCGCCUUCCCUCUACAAGGUCAUUGUACCCACAUACCUCUGAAUUCUGCAAGUCUCUGCAGCGCCUAUUGCAUUUUUCUCAUAAUGAACUUCCUUUUUCCAUUUAUUUGUGUUGUAAGGAGAACUAUGUAAUAUGAUGUGUUGUUGUCUUGUUAAUUCGCCUUUGACCUUUUGAAUCUUCUUCGACAUGAAGUACUCAUUGUGAUUGUACCCACUUAUACAUGCAUUAUAUUAUCACUUCUGUUGAUUCAAGAAACAUGAAGUUUCAGCCGUGCCUCCUGUAUUAUCACUUAUGCCGAUUCAUGAACUUCCUUUUCCAUUUAUUUGUUUUGUAAAGCAGAAUAUGUGAUCUUCCUUUUCCAUUUAUUCAUUAUUUAAGGUAGAGUAUGUAAUUAUGAUUAUUGUUGCCUUGUUUGCCAGCUUUGAUUAUCCAUUGCGUCUCUUUCUUCCUAGUAGUUUUCAGAGUUGUUUUACUCCAGAAUUGUGGAAUGAAAAUAUGGUCAUUCAGUUUAUACAAUCAUUUGAAAUUUCACCUUUUAUCUGUAGGGGGUGCUGUUUGUUUCAUUUGUCGCCUUGCAUGUGUCAUGUUGGUUCAAAUUUGACUGAACAAAUGUUGGAGUGCUAAUUUUGAAAAAGGAAACAAGAAAGACAUAUCAGGCAACCACAAAUAAUAAAAUUAGAAGGAGUCUAAAAACAAACGAUAAUCUUGCUUAAUUACUAAUAUAAUAUCAUAUUCAAGUAAAAAAAAUACAUAGACUCCUCUACUCCAGAAUUAUAAUCCAGUGGCCAACUGGAUUUUGAAUGUGUAGCAACUUCUAAAAAGUAGAAAUCAUGCCCACAAGACCCCAUCCGGACUGACCAUGCUUCAACCUCAAGUGACCAGUUUCUGUGCUACAGGUACAUAAUGCCACAUGUGUCGCCAUGCGUAUUCUUGCCAUCCAAAGAUUACCAUGAGGGGCCAAAUUGUAAGCAACAUUACCUUUGGCAUCUCUGAUCUUAGCAUUACUGGCAAUAUUCCUACUCUACCACAUACCACUAUCAUGAAUUUAACAAUCUUCUCAACUAAUGAUGGCAUGUAGAGGAUUUCUAAGGAAGAAAACACCACCAUGACCAUAAUAGCAGUUCCAGAAAUAAUUGGGGUGAUCAUGAUGUAUAUAGCCAAUACGAAGGCCGUCCCCAAAGAUAAGACUCCAUUGAAAGAUAACCAUAUGGAUAUAUUGUAGUGCAUGUAGCGCAUGGGUAUUUCGACUGUGGGUGUUCCUGCAAACACAAGGCUUAGGACGGCUAAGGACGAGCAUAUAAAUGCCAAUGCAUUCGCCAUCAAGAAUCCUUGGAAUACUUUAUCGGUAGACAGAGUUGGUGUUCCUCCCUUAGGGUGAUCAUCAGCUCUGUAACCCCCAGGUAAGGCAAAAGCAGCACCAAAAGCCAUUGUUGUAAUUAAUACUAAGCCAAGGCCGAGAAAUUGCGUUGAGUUUGAUAUUACAGCAUCAAUCUUAACAUCAGAUUGGGUACUAGGUCCUUUUUUCAUGUUAUCCCGCCGACAAAUCUGAAGUGUAGCAUCAGCAGAUAUUAGAGCUUGUUGUAUCAAAAUCCGUGAGUGCUACAGAGCAGAAGAAAAGCAACAUCAAGUUAUCAACUUUGUAAUUUUUCUCUGAAUCUAGGAAAUAAAGUACUAAACGAAAGGAAUAGUAAAGUAGUUUACCAGCAGGCAGUAUAACCCGGUCGGAGUACUGCUAACUGAAAUUUCUCUCGGGGUAUGUUGCUUGUUGUUUGGUAGAUUCAAAUCUACUUCUUUGUUUGCGAAGAGACAAGUGAAACCCCACCAAUCCCCAACCUCUACAGCUAGAUGUAAUGCAGUGUUUCCUUCAUUAUCUUGCUUGUUCAUAAUUGAAGAAAACAUGGGUGUCUGGCAGGCAUACCGAACUAUAUCAUAUCUUUUCUUCAUGACAGCAACAUGGAGAAAAGUUCUCCCAUGGGUGUCACGUAAGCUGGCGCAACCUGGACACUUUAAAAGUAAGAUGAUGACAGAUGAAAGUCUCCCCGCUAAUGCAGCGACAUGUAUGGGGAAUGACCCUUCUUCGUCCGGUUGAUAUGCUGAAUAUGCAUCCGCCUCCAAUAUAUGCAUGGUAAGGUCCAUUGGUGUUCCCACUACGUUCAGAAAACUUGUAAUGCUGGUUCCAUUUACCACGGGCACGGCAUAUUGGGGAAGCAUACCACGUGUGCCAGUUUCUAAUGAUACCGCAAAGUGUAGAGGUGUAUUUCCAUGUUGGUCUCGCUUUUUAGUAAGCUCCUUGUUCCAGCUCAGUAGUAAUUUUGUCAUAUCUGCAAUUUGGUCCUCUCUGUGUCAAACAGUGCAAUAUGCAGAAAUGCAUGGGAAAGAUACAUUCGGAAAUAUUUGAUCAUUCACUACAACUCUUUAUUGUUAUAUGUAGAAGAAUGACUUGGAUAAAUAAAUCCUUAACCUAGGCGUGAAUAAUUCGUCUUCACUCAACAGGGAACCUGGAAUUAAUGCAUGUGUAAAAGAAAAUCACACAAUCCUGAAAAUAUUCUUGAAUUGUGGAAGGCCAAGAUAAGUAUGUAACAUGAGAAAGUAAAUGGAGAUCAUUUACUUUAGUGAAAGGACGUCAUCACAAGUUUGCAGUAAAAAUGUGCUUUUGCAGUAAAAAUGUGCUGGAUAUUUUCUCAGUAACAAAGAGGAGAAGAAUGGUCUAGCAUAUUAUCUGAUAUGCUAAGUAAAUACAAUUAUCUCACAUUCAAAAUUUUAAGUUGUAUUGUACUCCUAUAUAGCAAAUUAAAUACAAUCAUUUUUAUGAUCACAGCAGAGAAGUCAGGUACCUCUGCUUCGAAGAACUGCAGCAUGAAGAGCAUUCUGUCCAUCUGGCCCGGAGUAUGACAACUUCUUGUCUCUCUGGUAGAGCUCCCGCACGAUUUGUUCAUGUCGCAGAGAGACGGCAAGGAACAAGGGCGAGGUCCCGCUGUCCGGAACGCGAGCGAGGAACGGGUCCGCCGUCAUCAGCUCAGCCACCGUGAGCAUGUGACCAGCGCGAACCGCCUCAUGCAGGGCUGUCUCCCUGAGCUCGUUCUGCAUCCUCACCAGCGUCGUCACCCUCCCAUCUUCACCAGCGACCUCUUCCCCUCUUGCCAGCUCAACAAGGAGAGCGGCCAUCGGGGCAUGGCCGGCCCUGGCGGCGCAGUGCAACGGCGUGCUGCCGCCACUGUUGCGUGCGCCCAAGAGGUGCGGCGCCUUGUCGUAGACUGCCCUGGCUUUCUUCAGGUACCCGUAGGCUGCUACGACGUGGAGUGCGGUGUCCCCGUCUGGGGUGACCCCUUCCAGGAGCAAGGACGAUGGUGGUGAGCGCACGGUGCCGGGGUGGUCGAUGUCGACAACGACCUCAAUAGGCACGUCGGCCGCUCCUCCGUUCAGAAGGUUCGUCAGUUCCCUGCAGCUGCCAUGGCAUGCCGCCUUGAGCAGCUCGGGAUGCAUGGUAGGGGCGGUUGCCACCGCAGUCAUGCUGCCGGUUUGCUGUGUGUGUGUGGCACCAAACCAAAGUGACGGCUCUAGGUAAGGAAUUGCACAGAGGCAAUCUAAAUCAGCUGAAGAUUCCUUUAUGCUUGACUUGGGUUGCAAGGCCUUAUUUGCAUCCGCCAACACGCAAUGAAUGGGCAGCAAAAAAAGUGGUUUAUGGAGGCACUCAAAGUAUCAGUCUGGCUCUGGUAUGGUCAUUCUAAUUAAUGAAAGAGUUUUGCUACACCUACGUAAUAAAGAAUAUGUAACUUAUGAAUGAGCUGGCCUGGCCUGAUUGGAUUGGUAAAAAAAAGGCACAGAAAAUGGUAUCUGAUCCAGUAACAAUGCAUACAGCUUUCUUUGGAUGCAGUCUUCAUAACAAUGCAUUCUCUUUUGAGGUUUAUAUUAUACUACCUCCGUCCCAAAAUAAGUAUCUCAACUUUGUACUAACUUUACUAUGUGAUACAUUUAACUCGAGCUGCAAUUUUGCAGACAGUUGUGUCGAGCAGGAAUUCUUUCUAUGCUUGAUCAUAAAUUCAUAAUGUGAACACUCUUGACAUUGUUUUUCAGUUUCAGGCGGCCAGAAUGCUAAAGUCGACCCAUCAAAUCCGGCAGUCAGGUAUAUUAUACUAACUCCAUUAAUUAAUUAGUAGCACCGAACUAUUCUUAGCUUCAGCAAUUUCUUACCUCUGUAGCUAGAUCAGGCCCUAAAGCCUAAACACUGCAACAUUUAAUUAUUCAGCAUUGUCCUUUUAAUUUAUGCCGCAAAGAUACAUAAGGCCCCUUAAUUGUCAUUUCUGCAUGCUACAAGAUUAACGAGCAAACCCACUAUGUGUUUCUAUACUUGGAUGAACCCUGUGUUUUUAUUCUGUUUAGAACAUUUGACUGAACCAUUUGUAUGCUUGUGCCUCCAGAAUCCACAUCUGUACGUUUUUUCUAGCACUAUAUGUGCCUAUCUGAAGUUCCAGCAAAACUGCAAUGCGGAUUUCACCUUGGUUACUUAUGGUGCAUAAAUAUAUAUGCAUCAAUUGUUACUUCUGCUUGCCACAAGAUCUCGUAUAACGUGGUCCAGAACUUCAGAUUUGCAAGCAAUCCCUUUUCUAUUGUUGGAUGAAGUAUGUUUUCUUCUUCUGUAUCGUUUAGCUGGGCCACUCACAUGUAUGUCCUUCAACAUGGCAUUGCAUGUAGCAUGAGCAAAAAAAAAUUGUCGACAUGGACGCUGAUCAUGCGUGCCUCCAAUUCCGGUGCCACUUCUUUUUCAAACAAUACACUCAAGCACACUGCGUUUUUCUUGCUGUUUGAUCCGUCUUUAUUCUGCAACGAGAUGAAGCCAACAUUAUGUCCACUCAUGUUUGAGUUAUCCUCUUGUUUACACCAAUUCCAGAACCAUUAAGUUUGUAGGGCACAUGCAGCAUUUCGCCCUGAUGAACAAUUAUUUAUUAAUUGUUAUGCACUGGUGAUGUAUGGUUGACUUGUUCUCCAGCAUUGUUCGUUACACUCCUUUAUUCGUAACAGCUGUAUUUCAGACUCGACGUUUAUUCCAGACACGAAAACUAUAAUGUCAGAGUUCAGUUUGUAGUAUGGUCUGAAGUUCAUCUUCCAUUUGUCAUGUUGGUUUGAUCAAAUAAAUCAUGAACUCGAACCUUUUCUUUGCUACCGAAUCACAUGUGUGCCUUCGCUGUCAUUUACUCUGUACAAUUAUUGGCUCUGAACUGAUGCAGGGAUUUCUGGAGGAAAGAAUGAUUCGGUGUACUCCCUUCAUAGACUGUCAGUCUCUCCUUUGCUUGCACUUGUACAGGGAGCAUAUCCAUUGAGGUGAUUGUCUUUUUUGUGCCAUGAAGCAAACCAUAUGCUGCAACGCAGACGAAAGGUCGAUAACCAUAACCUAUAUGGUUAUUAACGCUGUUUAUUAACAACUUGAUCCAUAACAUAUACUAUGCUGCAACGCAGACGAAAGGUCGAUAAGGAGCCUACUUCGGCCGAGCUGGAGCAGGAGAUUAAUUCCUUCAUAGCAGCAACUGCAGACUGUUUCUUAUUCGAGGAGACUUGUCAACAUUCGGUCCAUGAGAUUAUCUGAAUUUUGCACACCUUCUGUUUGUACUCCUAGCUCAAUCGGACCUAGAACAGGAGUAUCUCUUUCCCAUUUGUAUUCUUCAUAUCCUUGCAUAAUUGCAUUUGCUACUCAUGCUGAUCCAAGUUUCAUCAAACAAGUGGCCAAGACACAGUGGCGUUGUUUUGAUAUACAAACAGGUAGCUUACAGUAUGUAUCAUCUUUUUUCUCUUUGUGUCGAACUUUUUUUUUUGGAAAAGAAGGAACUUAGCCCCGGUCCUCUACAUCGAUUGAUUCAUAUAGCCGUAUUAUUAAACAGGUAUAAAAAUAAAGUUGUAUGUCUACGAAGGGCUUACAAUCUAAGCAAGACAAAAGCAAAUAAUUGAACUAAAAAAACCACCACAUCCGGCAAGACCAAAAUCAGGCUAGGAUGUCUAUACACCUAGCAUAUUAUUAGUCUGUCAUUCAAAUCGGUUGAAGAUAGUCUGUGCGACCGUCUUUCAUCGAUUGCACCCAAUAAUCAUAAGCUUGCUUUAGUCCGCAUAGUUGAUUAACGGCCGCGUACGGAUCCAAGACGUGGCCUUCUGUAUAACCUACAAAAAAAUAUUAAAAAUCUUGCCAUUGAAAGUCAUGUCAUUUGGACCCCGACCCCACGUCGCUCCUCCUGGGGCGAUUCGGGGGAACCAAGUCCUCCGCUACCGGGCUCCCCUCCCCCCCUGAGCGCCCUCCUCCCGUCGUUGCCUGGCUUUACCACGGUGGCCCGGGAGAGAUGUGGUGGACCCGGUUGUGAGGUCCGUGGGCGCGUGGUAGCGUCGUCGUGCAAGAUCUGGGAAUGUGCAGUGGAGGCAGCUCCGGUGGCUGUGAGGGCGCUGGUGGUGGGCACUCCAAUGGCGGAGUUUGCGGGCUGUGGAGGCUCUCCCGUUGCUUGGAGCUGCUCAGCAGAGGGGUUAGAUCCGCCCAGAUCAGGCUUCCCUUGUGGCGGCUGCGCCUCGUCGGAGAUGGCAAGCCGAGGGGGCGGCCCCUGACAUGGUGGAGGCACCUUCCUCUUACUCCCUCGUCAGGGAUUGGGUGGGGACAUGAUGCGGCUGACCGCCGCGGGUCCAAGUCUCAGAUCCGUCGGUGGUAGUGCUCGGAUGUGCUCCUGUGGGAGCGGCAGGGCGCCCUCGGGUGCCGGGGGCUCCUCCCUUGGCUUGUGGAGCUGUGGUGGCGGCGGUGAACCGUGGACGGCGGCGUGGCCGCGUCGCAUAUUGGGUGGGUGUGCUUUAGUGAUUGUGGAGAUAGGCCUCCGGCCUGCGAGGAAGAUGUGGAUUGGUGGUCUUCAACAAUGGCCCAUGCCCAUUGCUCAGUUUGUUGCGAUCAUAUGCUCUGGGAUUCCUUGUGUGGCUCAGCAGUGAAGGAGGUGCUCCGGGCGAAUGCCUUGCACUUGCUUGGUCGCGGUGUCAAUGAUCUCGUCGCUCUCGGACGUCGCAUUCCUUCCUGAAGGCCUCGUUGUGGAGCUACCUCUACGCCCAUGAGUGUCAUGUGAUCUCCGGGUGAAAACUCAAGCUCCAUCAGAGUGGGCAAUGGCGGCACCCAUGUCGUUGCCUUCUUGGAGGCAUUGCCUUGAAAUCCUAACACUUAUGGGGUGGCGGGUUUACGACAAUUAUAGGAUUGCUUUGUUGUGAGGGUGGUGGAUGCUGGGGCGGCGGCCACGCACUAUGGAUGUACGCCGAGGCGGCGGCCUCAGAUGGCCAUGUAGCGGCGGUCCUAUGGGGUAGACACGUGGCUCAACAUGGUAUGGGUGGCGACCUGGUGCUACAAGGGUAGCGAGUUCGUCGGCUCGGUCGACGUGAUCUGUGGGGUUGGUCUGGCUGGCACGUCGGGGCGGCGGCCAUGGAUGUCUGGCGCAAUGUUUUUGGUCUGCGGACGGGCAGCUCGUGUAGCAAGGGCUACGAGGUGUUUGUGUCAUGCAAUAAUGCGGGUCGCAAGCGAGCAGAGGAUGUCGGGGAGGCGGCUCGAGAGCUGGUGGUGUGUGUUUGUUGCAAUUGUGUUCUUGGGUUGGGUGGCCGACGAGGCUACAUUGCCUGUGCGGUUUUUUGGCCUCGCUUUACUCAUAAACUGGAUUAUUUUGCUUGGAUCAAUUCUUUUCUUCUUAAUGCAAUGCCAGAGCUCCUGGCCCUCUAACGAGGUUCCGUCAAAAAAUCAUAUCACUUUAGUGUUUCUUUUUCUCUGUGCGUAGAACUGGGACAUGUUAUUUGCAUCUCAGUUGUGUCCUUUGAUGUUCUUCACAUUGUGAAGUUUAUUGCCCUGAGCUGAUGCAAUAAUGAUUUCUAAAGGUACGAAUCAGUGAUUGGUUGACAUCAAGCAAUCGAUGCCACUGACAAUAUCUUGUUAUGUUGCUCGGCCCCUCGUCCUUGGUUGAUCUCGUCUGUUUAUAUGGUUGCUCUUGUUGCAAUCAACUAGUUUGUGCUGCAUUUCUACUUGCAUGAUCUGAUAUGUCCGAGAUGCAGCCCUGAUGAGAUUCCCUUUUUAGUGUUUCUUUCGAUCACUCGCUGUUUUGACCGGAAAAUCCUAAUGACCGAAGCCCUGUUGAGUGUUACUCCCUCCGUUCCCAAAUACAAGUCUUUUAAGAGAUUUCACUAGUAGUCUACAUACGAAACAAAAUGGAUGAAUCUACACUCUAAAGUAUGUCUAUAUAUAUCCGUAUGUAGUCCACUAAUGAAAUUUCUUUAAAAACUUAUAUUUAAGAACGGAUGGAGUACAAAAUUCAGUCAUACUGUUUUGAUCUCUGUAUCACAUGGGCCUUUGAAAAUAUGCUAUUAACAUAUUAUAACGUGUUAUUAAUGAAAUAUUGUAUACUGGUUAAUUCAACGAGUCAAUUCUCUAUAUUGUUAUAGAGCGUUUUUUUCCAGUGGAUAGGACACUAAACUGUGGCAAGCCGGACACGGAGAUAUUAUGUAUACAAAUUCCUCUUGUCACCUAGGCAGAGAUAUUAUGUAUUUAACGAGAAGAUAUUAUGUAUACAAAUUUGUAUACAUAAUAUCUCCGUGUCCGAUUAAGUUUAACGAAUAGUCAAUUCUCUACACCUCAAAUUCGUCUUGGUUGCUCAUGUUUUUGUGCACGCUGCUAUAGCUGAGUGAUGCCCGCUAGCGAACUCUGUAGGCUACCAGCCGCCGAGGCAGAGUUGCGGAUGUGUAACUAUAAGUAUAUCCGAAAGACUGAAUUAGCCCAUCAUUUUAGUAUUAAUGUUACAGACAAUUUUUGUAGUCGAUGGAUACAUCAACGAAAAGCUUGGAAUAAUUUAAGGAAAGUACGAACAUCAAUGUCAUGUUUGAAACUUAAACUCGGAUGAACAGGAGAUACCACUGUCUUUCUAUAACUAUCCAACCACAGAUUGCUUUGCUGAUUUUAGCUACUUUAUACUAGGCGACUGAUAGGCGUCGGCGUGCCGGCCUAAAGAUUCGGCCGGUCGCGCCCCAGCCAUCUGAUUCAGCCAUGUGCAGCCAUCCGAUUAUAUCUACGUUCUCUUUUUUCUUCCCCACUCGUCUUUCCCGGUUUAGCCAUAUCCGCGAUUGCCUGACGCAAUUUCCUAUAGCCCCCCAUCUCCCCCUCCGCCCCCUAGCUUCCUGCUUGCAGCUCCGCGUGUUGGGUUGUUAGCUCGCCGUCGCUGCUCGAUGCAUCAGUAGCCGUUGAUCUGGCAUUUUUUACCCCUGUCGCCAUCUUCCUCGUGACAUGACGCCGUCUCUUCCCAUCGCGUGUCCGGCUCCUACGGGUCAACCGCACCUUCUUCCCCCAAGCUCUACCUCCGUCUCUCCCGCACACAUCUCGUCCUACCUCUGGCCGCCUCGCCCACCCUCACAAGCCCCGCCAUCAUCUCAUGCUGCCCAUUGCCGUGUUUGAAGCACCAUGGUAGCAAAUGCAUGGAUGUAGCAAAAAACUUCGCUGGUGGUAGCAAAACUGUUGUCACAGCCGUUGUGGGUUGCAGCUAAUCCAUGAACGAAUGAAGCAAAAUCCAGCGUCGGUUGUAGCAAAAAUGUUGCCGAUGUCGUCGCACGUCAGAGCUAAGUCGUGAAGCAUGUAGCAAACAACAAUGCCAGUAGUGGCAAAAACAUCAAGGACGCAGAGUAUAUGCUGCUCCAGAGCUCGUUUGAGCUUGACGAACAGUAAAUUAAAAAAAACAUUUAAAAAAUUCUAAUUUUUUUGUGAGCAACAUUGAAAAAAGGGCAAAACGCAUGCAAAAAUUUGCCUUGAAAUAAUAUUUCUAUAAGGCGCGAUAAAAAAACAAAACCGAUACUAAAAAAAUGCGCAUUCAGAGUACUGAUUUGUUUUGUCACACUUUACAGUAAUAUUUGCAUGCACUUAAAACUUUUGUCAAUGUUGCUCACAAAAAAAUAUCAGAUUUUUUUUUACUGUUAAUCAAGCUCAUUCGAGCUCGGGAGCAAAAGGCACUUUCCAAACAUCAACGGUUGCAGCUGCCGACCCAGGUCACAGCUAAUUCUUACAUGGUUGUAGCAAAAAAAUAAAUCAACGGUGGUAGAUUUGCCAUAGCUGGUUGUAGCACACAUAGUCUUCCUUCCAGCAAAAACAUACAACUUGUUGAUUGUCAUCGUCGCAUCAUCGCAGCAAAGCCGUGAAGCAUGUAACAAAAACAACGCCGGUAGUAGCAAAAACGACAACGACUUCGCCGAUUCGAUCGCAGCUAAUCGGUACAUGGUUGGAGGAAAAAUGUUGCAGUUGGUAGCUCCACCAUAGCCGUCGUCGUGUAUAAUUGAUCAGAUAUUAUACCAAGUCUAGACGAAAGGUAGACUCCCGGGUCGCCCCGCAGGAGGGCGGCUCCGAAGGACCCCGAUCCGAUCCAGAAGGCCGGAGCCCGAUCUUUCCCCACUGGCCGCUGCCGUCGCUGGUAACGGUGGUGGCAACCACGCCAUGGCUGUCAAAGACGGUGGGGCAAGGCUGGCGUAGCCUGCUGGAUUCCCUUCAUGCGGGGGGUUCGGCUCCUUGGCGGCGCAUGAAGAGGUCCGGCAGCGAGGCGGUGGUGCUCGCCCAUGUGCGGUGCGUUGCAGGGAUGCGUGGAUGGGCCGAGAGUGGCGGAUGUGCGGCGAUGGCCGAAGGUGACGGAGCGGAACCUACGACAAUGGCGCUAUUGCGCAUGCCUAGGGUGCGCCGGAGCCCUCCUACUAUCGCUGUCACAUGUGCCUGAUCCGCUGAUCUGUUCGCCGGAAGUUGGCCGGCGGCGUGGGGGCCUGUUAGUGUGCUCGAAUAAAGGUGACGGUCCUAAGGUUCCUCUUACGCCAAGACGAAGAUCUGCCUGAUGCUCGUACUUCCUGAUCUCGCCAUACUGGCGGGUUCGGAAGGCUCCGCCGGCGAACUCCCAUGGACGUGUUAUGCCUAGAGAACUCCGAUGGACGUGUUAUGCCUAGAGAUUACUGGAUCGGGUGGAAUUCGGUCGUGCCCAUUGGUUCUCCAUUAAGGAGGGAGCAACGCGAAGCUCUGCUAUCUGUUUCCAUCAGGAGAUAUUUUACUCCAUGGUAAAUUCAGAGGCGAAGAAUGUCAUGAAAGCUGAGAUUGGAGGACUAAUAAUGGUGAUUGUAGCCUACAGAUUUUCGGGAUUCGUAGCAGUGCUAUGUAAGUAAGUGGGGUCGACAUCAUAGAUAAAGUUCAAGGUCCUACCUUUUAGGGUGAAUAUCCAAUGUCUGGCUUUAAUUGGUUGUGUCUCACAAUAAACUUGUUGAAGACGUUGUUUUAAGAGCGGGAAUUAUUUCGAGGGUGAAAACCCAAUAUUUACGAUUGGGCGACGAAGGCGCUAGUGCACUGUUUCCUUUUUGAAGGCAUCGUUUUUAGAGUAUUUGGACAUCAGGCGUUGUCUUAGUGGUGGUUGUGCUGCUGCUGCAAGUACUGAAACUCUGUAACGAGACUUUUCCUUUUUAGUUUCUUCUUCGUUUUUUAGCUGUAUGCAUCCAUCAGGCCAUUAGGGCAUUGCGUUGUUGCAGAGGCUGAAAAUAAUUGUAUCUUCACGAUAUUAAUAUAUACUAUUUAUCAAAAAAUAGUCGCUGUCGUACCUUCUCCAUCAUUGCUGGUAGCAGCACCGUAGCAUUGCACGACAUGUUUUGCAGCACUGAAGGUCGUCGUUUCCCUGCCGCCGAUGGAAACAUCCAACUUCCCAUGUCGUCAGCAUGUUCCCCCUCAAUCCUGCUUUCAAAAAAUGGCAUCGUCGGAGAUACAAUUGGAUGCGCCAUGGUCGAGACCUCGUCGUCGAUGGUGCAGAAGCAGGGGAGAAGAAGGAGGCGUGGCGCGGCUAAAGAGGAUAAGGUCGUGGGGAGAUGACGGUUGCAAGGAUCCCAACCACAUGGCACGUGUGGGCAAAACGAGUGGCUACAUGAGCCCAUGAACAACAAUGAGUGUCGAGAUGUCGGGCGGAAUGGUUUGGUCGGCGGCAUCGUUUAUAAACGUUUUUCGUUGUAGUGUACUUAUCUCCCCUGCCUUGAUCCUAAUACUCCCUUUGUCCCAAAUGGGUGACGUACUCCCUCUGUCUCAAUGUAUAAGUCAUCUUAGGUUGUACACCGCGAUCAAUAUGGAGCAAAAAAUGAGAGUAAUUAAUGUUAAUUUGCUAAUUAAUAUCAUCGCAUGCAAUAAAUUGACCACUGCAUGUGAUGCUACUUAGGCAUGUGUCAAUGCUAGUUUCUUAGCGCGGUUUCAUAGAUAUUUUAUUGAUGUGGCAUACUAGUUAAUAAAGAAAGAGAGUCAAAUUGUAUCUUAGCUAACAUACAACCCUUGCACGUGGCCAUAUGCAAAAAAUGAUUCUAGCCCAAUCAUAUGUAUGCAUUACCCUAAAUUAUUAAAUGUAGAUACAACUCAUAAAAAACAAUGUAUUGACAUUGUUGUAUCUUAAAUUCUUAAUGCUCCUAUAAUAACGUGAUAAAAGACGAUGCAUUGGGAGAUGCCUUAGUCUCAAGUCAUUAAAAAAAACACGCCUCACUGAAAGUGCAGUCAUUGCCCUUAAUCGUGUUUUGGUGUUGCUGACAACACACAUAUAGAUAACUAAUUACUAAUCCCCUUUAAGCUAUUGUAAAUGAUCAUGUGUUGAUAAGGACAAGCUCAUGUGCUAACAAGGACAAGAUCAAGAUAAGCAUUCUUGAGCACUACAUGCUUGAUUCUUGUGGAUGUUCACAUAGUGGACAAAUGAAGAUGAAUACAUAAGCUAGGCUUUCCACAUUGUAUAUGGGAGAGCUACUUGAAGACUUCAUCAUGUCUUGCUUUCAACUUGAGCCAAGAAGGAACAACAACAUCAAGCUCAAGUGAAAGGGCUAACUCAAAGGUAUCAGUCCCUUUGACGUUAAUGGUGCGGAGUGAUGAUCAGCGAAUAAAAGUAUACACUCAAGUAUGGAUCAUCGGUACCCUUUUAUAAUUCUUGAAUCUUUAGGGAUCCCGGACUAUUAAGAGUGGAUCACAUGUUUUGUGAUGAAGCUCGUCGCAUCUCUCUUGAACCUCCUCCUACUUUAGGUCAUAAAGUCAAGGACUUCACCACGGUUCCUAAGUCUUCCUACUUCACUUUCCGCCGCGACGUUGACCAAUUUUCUGUUGUACGUGACUCUAUGGACUCACGUUUCCGCACAAACGUCCAAUCGGACAUCUUUACUACUGUCAUUGUUCCUAAGGGUCUCUCUGUCCAUCACUAUAUUGAUCUUGAGCAUAUUCGCACGCACCCGGCGAAAUACCCGAGUGCCAUUGAGCUCAUUGAGUCAUCGGGGCUCGCUGCCCCCUUUGCUUUUCGGUACGAUUUUAACGGUGCUGCUAUCCAUCAAUUUUAUGCCACAUGUUUCUUUGGCUCAAACAACACUGUUAGCUGGAUGACGUCUGAUGUUCAGUUCACAGCCUCUUAUGAUGAGUUUGUGGCCGCACUCGGUUUCCCCGACUCCGGCUUCAAAAUCCAUAAGAAUGAUCCUAACCAUGCACAUAGGCCCAUUGAGGCAUGUGGGUUUCUCCUCAAACCACUUCGUGAACUUGAUGCAGACGAACGGAUGAAGGAUCUUAACCAAGUAUCCAUCUGGCGCUCUCCCUACUUUAUCAUUUUUCAGUGUCUUAUCCGCACCAUCUAUCCCAAGAUGGGUGAUAGGGGAUCUUGCAACGUCUACUGUAUUGACAUCAUGUCACACUUACACGAGUCCCCCAAGCGCAAAAUUAAUGUGCCUCACUUUCUAUGGCAUGAGAUUCGGCUCGCUAGUUUUCAAUACAAGCGAGCCUUCCCUCAUGCCCCCUUCAUCCAGGCUUUUAUUCACCAUGUUGCUGAAUUCACUGUUGCUCCCACUCACACGCAUCACAAGCGGGUUAUUCCCGCUCACAUGGCGGAUGACUAUGCUCCCAAGAAAACCCCAUCCACCACCUCCACUCGCCGCACUGCUGCCCGGUCAGCAACCCCUUCAUCCAGCUCAGCUCCUCUCGGUCGCUUUGUCAAAUUCAUUGGCAAGGCACAUUCUGCUAUGAUGAAGGCCUUCUCUUUCCAGUGCGGUCAAACUCAUGAUGUGGUUUCUCGCCUCGUCUCCUCCAAGAAUGCCCUCAAGGCUCGUCUGAGAGACUCGGGCGCUCUUGAUGUGAGUGACGAUGAGGAUCUUCCUGCUGCUCCUCCUUCUGACUUUUGCUUCCCAUCUAGUCCUGAGUGGGCCGACUUUCUUGACGAGGCUAGUGGCAGUGGCUUGCCUAAGGAUGAGGAUGAUGCCUGAUGAUGAUGAUAUUGAUGAGGGUGAUAUUUGAGUAUGUGGUAGCAUUGCCGGGUUUCCCUCCUUUUUGGUCCUUGAUGCCAAAGGGGGAGAACAUUAUCUUAUCUUAGUUUCGAUUUUAGUUUCUCUCAUAAUGUAUGGUAUGAUGUAUUAUGUCGAACUUAAUGAUGUGUCAUCAUGUAACGAUACUUAUGGAUGAUGUGCUAUGCCAUCACUUAUGGAUGAUGUAUUGUUGAACUAUCAUGUGGUGAUGAGAUAUCAUGAUAUUAUCGUUGUGUCAUAUGAUGAUGAGUUUUAUGCUAUCCUAUUGAUUCAUAUGAUAUGCCUUGAUUCAUAUGAUAUGCUAUGAAUUGUUGAUUCUUAUGAUAUGCUAUGUAUUGUUGAACUAUUAUGGUGUUAUAUCAUGCUAUUAUCUUCAAUGCACACACUAAGGGGGAGCUCUUGCACUUACCUAUUUUACUAUGCAUAUAAUCAGGGGGAGCUUCAUAAGCAUCGUAACAAAUCUCUCCUAAGCCACACAUGUUUAUUACUAUUUUUGAGAGCUAUAUGUAUGUUGUCAUCAACUACCAAAAAGGGGGAGAUUGAAAGUGCAGUCAUGCCCUUAAUCGUGUUUUGGUGUUGCUGACAACACACAUAUAGAUAACUAAUCACUAAUCCCCUUUAAGCUAUUGUGAAUGAUCAUGUGUUGAUAAGGACAAGCUCAUGUGCUAACAAGGACAAGAUCAAGAUAAGCAUUCCUGAGCACUACAUGCUUGAUUCUUGUGGAUGUUCACAUAGUGGACAAAUGAAGAUGAAUACAUAAGCUAGGCUUUCCACAUUGUGUAUGGGAGAGCUACUUGAAGACUUCAUCAUGUCUUGCUUUUAACUUGAGCCAAGAAGGAACAACAACAUCAAGCUCAAGUGAAAGGGCUAACUCAAAGGUAUCAGUCCCUUUGACGUUAGUGGUGCGGAGUGAUGAUCAGCGAAUAAAAGUAUACACUCAAGUAUGGAUCAUCGGUACCCUUUUAUAAUUCUUGAGUCUUUAGGGAUCCCGCACUAUUAAGAGGGGAUCACAGGUUUUGCGAUGAACUUGCUCAAACUACAUCUCUACUGUUCUAUACCACAUCUCCACUGCUCUGCUGCUAUCUCAAAACAGAACCAGUGCCUCGGACAUCCGGCUUCCUCCGGACGUCCGAGGGUCGGACGUCCGACCUCCUUCGGAAAUCCGGAACUCUGCACCAGAGAAAGUUGAGUCAAAUAACUCGGACUUCCGGCCUCCCCCUGUCGUCCGAGGGCCGGACGUCCGACCUCCUUCGGAAAUCCGGAACCCUGCACCAGAGAAACUUGAGUCAAAUAACUCGGACUUCCGGCCUCCUCCUGUUGUCCGAGGGCCGGACGUCCGACCUCCUCCGGAAAUCCGGAACCUUUCACCAGAGAUAUUUGAGUCAAAUAACUCAGACUUCCGGCUCCCUCCGGACGUCCGGUUCCUGUUCGACUACACAGUGAUUCCAGAUAUAUAUACAUCGCUCGGACGACCGACCCCUGUCGGACGUCCCACACCUUGUGGGCGCCCGGACAUCCGAGAACUGUCGGAUGUCCGACCACUGUCAGACUUAAGUGACCCCAACGGCUGUUUUAGUCUCCCCACUAUAUAUACCCCCCUCCCACUUCGUGAGAGUGUGCCCAACACAUCCAUAUCGUCAUAAGAACACAUUUCUACCUCACACACAUUUGCUCACACCAAAUCUUAGAUCCCAAGAGCAUUUGUGAGCCCCUUUGAGAGUUGUUCCAAUCAAAAGAUAGAUCGUCUCCCUCUCCUCCUCUCAACCCAAGCUAUUUGAGAUUUGAGCAAGUUUUGAGCAUUCCCCGUGAUCUUGUUACUCUUGGAGGUUGGAGACUCCUAGGCGGUAGGAGUUCUUCGGAGAGGAAUCAAUCCGUGUGAUUUCCCCCGGAAAAGUUUGUGAGGGUUUGGAAGCCACCUCAAAGGCUUACCACUAGUGGUUGAGAAACGCCUUCGUGGUGUUAUCUCAAAGGGAGAAUAGGGUGAGCCUUCGUGGCGUUUGUGUGCCUUCAUGGUAACAUCCACCUCUCUAACGGUGACUAGCUUCCCUCCAAGGAAGUGAACAUCGGGAUACAUCUUUGUCUCAGUGACCUUGGUUAUCCUUAACCCUAACUUCUUACUUGUGGUUUAUUUGUGUUACUUGAGCAUACAUACAUUGCAUAUUGUUUGUGCUUAUUAUAUUCUGUUGGCUAUUUCUUGUACAAGAUUAAUCGUUCAAGCAUACCCUCUAUAUCUAUACGUUCACACUUGCAGCUUUUGAUAUAUCGUGUGCUAUAGUGAGAUCUAGUAUCUUGUGUCGUUCACCUACUUGUCGUGUGAUAUAGCUCAAGUAAGUUUGUGUAACUUGCUUGUGUUUGUUAGUAACUGUAUUGUGUCCAUCUUGAUAGAUAGUGUUGUUGAUACACGUUGCGGUGCCUAUUGCAUUUAGGAUUUGUGCUUGAAAAGUAUCCUCUUAGUUUAUUUCCGCAUUAGGUUUAAGUCAAAUCCGAAGAAGUUUUUAAAUAGCCUAUUCACCCCCCUCUAGGCGACAUCGUGGUCUUUUCACUUACGUCUUUUAUUGGUUGAUUUUUUUUUCAUGUUAAAAAACAAGAAACGAGGUAAAAGUUAAUGCAUAGCGUCUAAGUGUUUUAGGAUUAUGUUAUUUUCAUAAGAUAACUUAUACACCGAGACGGAGGGGCAGAUUUAAUAUUAUUAAACUACUAUAAAUUGUAUACUAAAAUAAUGACAUUUAUUUUGAAACCGAGUAUUACGUGUUUGCUAAAAGAAAAAUACUUCCUUCGUCUCAGUGUAUAAGUCAUCUUAUGAAAAUUAAAUAAUCUCAAAAUGCUUAGGCACGAUGCAUUAAUUUUCACCUUGUUUCUUGUUUCUUAACAUGAAUAAAGUAAUCAACCAAUAAAAGACGCGAGUCGUGUAUGUUUUUAAUGACUUGAGAUUAACAAGCACGACAUGCAGUGGUUAAUUCAUUACAUGCAGUGGGGGAGCCAGAAACUGAAUAUAGAAGGGGCCAAAACAUGUCAUAUAAUGUUAGAGGGUGCCAAAUCACCUAAAUCUAGCUAAUUUUGUUUGAUAAGUGAAGAAUUAGAAAUACAUACAAGUGUAUUUGUGAGAGCAUAGGGAGGGCCAAGGCCCGUGCCAGCACCCCUACCUUCACCACCACUCAUUACAUGCAAUGUUAUUAAUUAAGAAAUAAACAUUAUUUCUUUUUAUUUUUUAUCUUGGUUGUGGUGCACAACCUAAAAUAUACCUGGCCAAACGGGCCGGGCUAAACAGGCAGGUCCGCCAGCCCGCCACGACGGUACAACAAAGGCCCGACCCGACAUGAUUUAAACGGGUCGUCCCAGGCACGCGGCACGCCUCGGGCCAUGCCUGGACCUGAGGGCUGGGCACGCGGGCCGGCACGACACAACCCGUUUAUUUUUUUACUUAUAUAUAUAUAUGUAUGUAUGAUAUAAAAAAAUAACCUAAUAGGUCAAAAUCGACCCAAAACACAGCCUAAUAUAUUAAAAUCGGCCCAAAAAACAGCAUAACAGGCUAAAAUCAGUCUACAUAAUAACCUAAAAUAAAAAAAACUAGCAGCCUAACGGGCCUGGCGUGCCUACAGGCCGUCCCGUAUAACCUCCGUGCCGUGCCUGGACCGAAAUGCUGUGCCGGUGGGCCGGCACGGCAUGGCCCGGCUAAUAAUCGGGUCCAGACGUGUCGUGCCGGGCCGAUCCGUUUGGCCAGGUUUGACCUAAAAAUGACCCAUACAUCGAGACGGAGGGACUAAGAGGGUGCUUGGAUACGUUUUAGUCCCAUGACUAAAAGUAGUGAGACUAAAACUUGCUAGCCUCACCCAUGCUUGGAUCCAAGUACUAGAGAGACUAAAAUCAAGUUAAUGAGCAUUUAUUAUCCUCCAAACCCUCCAAUCCAGAACUUGCAUGAGGAGUUAAAUGAGGAGAGAGAGGACUAAUGCACAUUUUAGUAGGGGUACCCUUGACUAAAAGAUUUUAGCCUCAAGACUAGUUUUAGCCUCUCUUUAGUCAGGGGUGCUUGGAACUUUAGCCUCUUAAAAGACUAGUUUUAGUCAGACUAGUUUUAGUCUCUUGGAUCCAAGCACCCUCUAAUUUGAUGUUGCACUCGGCCAUACCGUGUGCGGAGGAGAGGACGGCAGCGGCUAUGGGGGCGGCAGCACAUGGUCGGUCGUGUCCACCAACGAGUCAUCUGUUCUCAGCGUCUAUAUCUACCGCGUUUGGAGAGUGGGAGACUCAGUAGAGACAGAGAGAGAGAGAGAGGAGGGGUCGAUCCCGCGGCGCCGGGCUCCUCCGGCGGUUAUCCCGUCCUACCGACCACCGGCGGCCUGCAAGCCGGUGAGUACGUGCAGCGUUCCGAAGAGGCGCGUGCUCGCAGGGGGAGGGGAGGGGGGAGGCGCCGGAUCUCGCUGGACAAGUGCGUCAACAACAUGUGGUAUAUUUCGUUUCUUCCUGACCUGGAUCCGACUACUUUAUUUUUCGAGUUUACCGACGAGUAGAUCUGCUGUGUGUUCAUCUAGUGUCACCAACUGUUGGUGGUCACCUUAAGCGUUACUUCUUUCUUCUUCUGUUCUAGAUCCGACUGAGCUAGAUUUGUUCGGCUAAGUUCACGGUGAUGUGGAUCUGAAAUGCAAACUGUCGGUCAUCCACCCUAGGCUUCCUUCCGUUCUACUCCCAAGUGAAUCACGCGUCUGCUUCAAGAUCCAGUUAAAUCAGGAGUGGAUCUAGUUUCUUCAAGUCAAAAAAUCACGAGUACCAAGUGUUAACUGUUGGUGGUCAGCCGUAGGUUUCCUUAAGCGUUAGUUCUAGAUCCGACUGAGCUAGAUUUGUUCGGCUAAGAUCACGGUGAUGUGGAUCUGACUGAAAAGCAAGCUGUCGGUCAUCCAUCGUGUGUUUCCUUCCGUUCUACUCCAAGUGAAUCAUGCGUCUUCUUCGAGAUCCAGUUAAAUCAUGACGAGUGGAUCUAGUUUCUCCAAGCAAAUCACGAGUGUCAGUCAUUUCUUCCCUGGCCGGCCGGUGUGUGCAUCUUAGUUCUUCAGUGCACAUUGCUGCCUGUACAUGAUAGAUUUACAGUGCUAAUUUGGUCAUACAAGCUACUUGAGCGCAUCCACCAAAAGCUUCCUAUUCUGUGUACGGUCCUAGGUGGAUCUGUAUUAGACACAUCUUGAGGUCAACCACCAAAAGCUUCCUACACAGUAUUUAGCCUAUGAAAACUGUAUGCUAUAGUCAUACUAGUGUGGGGUGAAAAUCACAGCUGCUUGGGACUUGAAAAGAUGAUGCUUCGAACGAAAUGGAAGGAUACUGUUAUUCACCUGUAUCAUCCACUGGUUUCUUUUGUGCUGGUUAGUGUGUGCAGAUCGUUGGUCAUCCACUUCUUUUUUGCGGGGACACAUUGGGUGUUUGAUAUAAGCUGUUUUGCUUUGCCUAGAUAGAUAACUAGCUCAUAUCUUGCUGAUUUGGUUGCCGCUAACCAUUGCAAAAACUUUCAUUUGAAUAGGUACCUUGUAUGGGAUGAAGUGAAGGCUAUUUUGUUAAUCAAUCAUCAUAUUAUGUGCACAAUAAGCUUUUGUUAUGCUUUCACCGUCGAUGCCCACUGGCUGGAUCAUACUUCUGUUUAUGAGCUCAUUGAAGUAACUCUCUCCUAGCUUAAAUCGGCCAAUUUCUCGUUUGCAUUAUAUAUAAAACCUUCAGCUAUCCAUCUCCAUAUCAGUUCGUCUCUCUUAAUUUUGUAAUCUUUUGGAAAUAUGCUUAAAUAUCCUCAAACAUAAGUACAAGCCACACAUGCUGCACCAAUACUAUGCAAAGUAGCAUAGAGUGAGUAAAAUAGGCUCUUGACUUUUAGAUUAUACAAGAGCGGUUAUCUACAAGUCAACCCUUUUUUUACUAACUACUAGUAGCCUUGAUAUAUCUAUAUGAUUAGUUAUUAUGUCCAAGUAUGUUUUUAGAAGAUUAAGCAAACUCAUUUGAUAUGUAAAUGGAUAGUUUGAGGUUUUAUUUAUAAUGAUAAACAAGGGAUUAGCAAGUUUGAGCUCGGUGAUAGAAUUACUCAAUGAGAUCGCAAAUAGAAGCAUGGUUCAGCCAAUUGACAUCAAUGUUGAUAAAGGCAUGGAAAAAUCUUAUCGUAUACAUGAUAUGGUGAUUGAUUCCAUAUGUUUUUGCCAAGUGAAGAAAAACCAUUUGCACGGCACUCAGUCAAAGGCAAGAUUUGAAGACUAAACAUUCCGAAGAGCAUGACAGGUUUGAAGAUUAAACGGUUUAAGUUCUCCUCCUUUUGGAUUUAAUUAGGAUAUAUGCUUCCAUUCCUGUCAAUUGAGACGGCCUGAUAACACUGCAUUUCCCUUGGUGUUUUGAUUUGUCCUUCUUCUGCAACAUACAUGCGAGUUGUCGUUCCCACUUACUCUGCGGUGCCUGCUCUACUUUGCUCAUGAAGAACUUCUUUUCUUCAUUUCUCUGUUUACUCAAAUGCUUGUGGACUGAAAUUUAAGUCGUUCAGUUUAUAGAACAUUUUGAAAUUUCACCUUUUAUUUGUAGAUGUUGCUAUUGCCUUGCAUCUUCCGCAGUUUUGUUCUCUUCUUUUGUGUGGAUUUGCAGCUAGCAAAAUGGAAAGUUCAUGGUGGGUCAGUUUGGAGGCUUCAUAUUUCAUAAUUGUUAUUGUGUGGUUCACACUAGAAUUUGAUUUUAAUGCGUACUUGUGCAUUUUUUGUUAGGAUUAUCAUGCUUGUUUUUCUAUGUAAUUGCUAUGAUUCAAGGCUACGUAUUUUGUUUAACCCAUUAUUUGCCAUUUGAAAACAAUGGUGGCAUCAACAGUUGGUAAUUGCAAAUGCUUAUCACUGGUUACCGCCUAAUGCUUGCUUGGUUUUCGGUGUGAUUUCAGCUUCGCACCACCCACGUUUUGUGAGACAAUAGUACAUCCAAAAGGAGAAGUUGUUGAGCUGAUAGUCAUGACAGCCUAUAAAAUAGGCGCGGUGAUUGAAGCUCGUGAGUAACACGAGUAACAAGACAACAAAAAACCAUGCUAAAGCUGGAGGGAUUCAUAGAAAAUGUGUAGGAAAAAAAUCCCUGAGAAUGUGAUUUUAACGCAUACUUGUCCGUGAGAAAUGUACCUUCACUACAUUUUUGGGGUUUCUAGAACAUGGACCAUAUGCGUCCAAGUAGAGAACAUAAAUAUCCACUGUUCUUUAUUCUUUCAUCUGUUAGUUUUGAUGUUGUUUUGGAUAAUAGAUAAUCAAGGCAUCGUAGGUGGCAGCAUUGAUUAGAGAUUCAGUCUAAUGUACUUGUUUAUAGCGGUGCUGCCAUGAAGUUUGGUCUAUAAAGUUCUGCUGUGUAAACAUACUGCUGAUCUGCUGAACUAAAAUUAUGGCCCUGUUUACCUGUGGUGGUGCACUGUACAACAAUUUCACCUGUUCUUUCAUAGCUCACCUUAUGUGUGGCAUCUUCUACUAGUAUCGUAUAAAUGUCUAUGUCAGAACACUAGCUGCUGGCACUCCCAUCUUUGACCGAUGGAUGUAAAGGUCUACCUUCUCCGGCACCUCCAACGAGUACGCCGACUUCAACGCCUACUACUGAGAAGACGACUAUGGGAAGGACAUGUGAUCACUAUGAUAUGUCCGGUCAUAUGAUGAACUGGCAUGUGUUAGAUUUAUGUACGUUGCAUGAGGUUGUAUGAAUUUGAAAGUAUUGACACGAGGUAGAUUGCCGCAGACGCAAAGAAAUGAAAAGACGAGUGGGCGCUAGCCGCGAUUGCAUACCCGGUUGAAUCGGAGCUGGAGAUGCUCUUUCUGUGCACCAGUUAUUAAUUAGGGCCAACCUUUUUCAGGUUAUAGGGAGAGCAAUUUUGUUACCCACCCGCCGCAAAGCCAUUGCUAAGUUUCCGGCCGUGACUUUGCAGGCGCGCACUUUGUAACUUCGUGGAGCAAACAAGCCAGCAUUUGAUGUGGCUUGGCCGGAAUGAGGUUCAGUUUUACGUACUACUCACUCCGUUCCUAAACAUAAGUCUUUUUAAAGAUUUCAUUAAGAGACUACAUAUAAAACAAAAUAAAUGAAUAUACAUUCUAAAACAUACAUAUAUAUCCAUAUAUAGUUUUUUAAUAAAAACUCUAAAAGACUUAUAUUUAUAUAGUUUUUUAAUAAAAACUCUAAAAGACUUAUAUUUAAAAAUGAAGGAAGGAGGAAGUAGUAGUUAAGAUAGGCGUCGCCAUCUUAAUUACAGGUCGCAUCCGUUUUCUCCCCUAAUCACCACCACGUGCCAUGUACACGUCGCUUUCGCUUCCGGACGGAGGCACAACUUAGCAGCUGUUCGUGGCUCGGCCACAAGCCCGUCGUGUCGUGUCGUGUCGUGGAAUGAUCAAACGUAGGCAGGUAGGAAAAUAAUGGGGUUGUACAUGCGCAAGCGAAGCACCGAAUCCUCCAACGGCAGCGCGCCAUCUAAUACCCCCGGCGAGCACAGUGAAGAGGAACGUACCUUAUCACCGGCGCGCGCGCAUCAGUUGGUGACCGGCCGGCGUGAAACUGUGAAAGGCUAGCCGUGCAGGCCAUGUGUCCAUUUCCCGAUAGAAAGAAGGAAAAAGAAGGAACGUGGCAGCCAUGUUUAUGGCCCAUGGCUGGACGCGACGGGCGGUGCCAGUGCGCGCGCAACAGGCUGCCUUCGCGCCGAAGCAACGCAACAAAAGGCGAAACGGUCGGCCGGCUGGCCUCGCUGUGUAGAUGCUUCGAGAGAAAUCGCGGGGACGUGUCAACCGCCCAUAGGCCGGCCAGCUGUCACCCCCGCAGAAUAAAUAGGCCUCCCCACCCCUACGCCUUUCCCCAGUGCCUUCCCCAGCAACACCAAAGAUCCGAUCCUCUCCUCUCUUAUUCUACCACUCUCCGCCGCCACAGCCACCACCAAUCGAAGAAGCAAUGGCCGCCUCCGCCAUCGCGUCGAAGGCCGUGGCCGUCCUCGCCGUCCUGUCGGUCGCCGCCUUCUCCCUCGUCGCCGCGCAGGAGGCCCCGGCGCCGAGCCCCAUGUCCGCCGCUGGCGUCGCGGCCCCCUCCCUCGCCGCCGCGCUCGUGGCCUCCGGCGCCGCCUUCCUCUUCGCCGCCUCGCGCCACUGAAGCAGCAGCAGCUGCCUCCGUCCGUCGAUGGCAGUAUAGCAGUAUUGUUUUCACUAGCGAUUUGUUGGUUGUUCGUGUCCUUUUCCCCCAGAUCUGCCUGCUACCGUCUAUUACUCGACUCGAUGAUGAUUGAUUAUCUCUCUCCCUCUAGUAGUAGAGAUUGUACCCGUUUGCCUGUACAUACUUCUCGCCAGUGCUAUUUAUCCACCGGUUCGAUCUGCUGAUAAGUAUGAUAGCUCCAUUUAUUCAGUCGUUGUUCGUGAAUUUUGAUGCUCGUGAGUCAGCGUGAUGGAUCUGUUUCUCUUUCUCGUUUCUCCAUUAUCUGGUGGCAGAAUUGCUUUAUGCAGCCAGCUUCAUAUGCAGAUAUGCUUGUUACUGAUCCUUCACGCUAUCAAUCACAGCAGGGAACACUCUUCGAAUGAAUAUCACGAACUUUGGAGAAUUUUUUUUUUGAGUAAAAACAGCCGCAGCGACUGCUGCACUACACGUGAGUGGUGGA
This 53860-nucleotide long non-coding RNA is filed under the name Hordeum vulgare. RNAcentral describes it as "long non-coding RNA (HVUL_LNC008144)". Lineage: Eukaryota; Viridiplantae; Streptophyta; Magnoliopsida; Poales; Poaceae. The record is from RNAcentral.